This 71608-nucleotide long non-coding RNA is filed under the name Sorghum bicolor (sorghum). Its description in RNAcentral is "long non-coding RNA (SBIC_LNC010747)". Lineage: Eukaryota; Viridiplantae; Streptophyta; Magnoliopsida; Poales; Poaceae. The record is from RNAcentral.
GUUAAUCAUGCUAUCUUGAAAAGAAAAUAAAAAUGUUAAAAAAAAUACUAAGCCCUAUGUGUGUAUACGAGUGGCAUAAAACUCAUAAGUACCUUCACUGUGGUGGCAUAAAAAUAAAUAUUUCUUUUCUGCUUUAUAAAAUAAAAAUAUAAAAACAGGGAGUAAUAUUUAUUGAGGAAGCUCAACAUGAUGAAGGCUAGAUAUUUAUGCUAAGUUGCUAACACUUAAUUAGUUCCACAAGCUUUGUUGUCUAUUUGAGCUCCACAGAAUUUAAGAAUCAAGAAGACUAGCAGACGGAGGACAUUCUAAUCGCUGUCAGAAUACUCCUGACUUUCAAAUACACCUCUGCCACCUGCUAGCUACUUCAAGAGAAAUUACGUCAAAAUUUAGUUUGGGGAAGAGCACCCCCAUUUAUCUCGCUAAGUAUUUCUACCUAUCUUUAUACUUAUAUUAUGUUAGAAUAUUAAAAUACAUAAACUAUGAAAAACCAAAUAAAGAUUUUGUGCUUAUAUAUAUCUUUUGCUUAGUGUGUUUAAUAAAUAAAUAAAGUGGCUAUGCUAAUCUGAAUCUUAAUAAUAAAACUCUAGCAUGGAUAUGAUGAAUAGUUGCUCUGCCUAAUUUGCAAAUUUGAAGUUCUCUCUCAAGUUUAGACAUAACUGUUAUAAUUUAAAGCUUGCUCUAGAUCUAAACUUGUGGGAUGAAAACUUGAUCUGAAAUCUAAGUUGUUAACGGAUAUGAUAUGGGAAGGUUGAGCUGCUGUUUAUCUGUUCCUAGAGAUGCUAGAAUUCUGGAGUAUUUUAUCUUUGAAAAAUCUUUAAAAUAUUGCAUGAUGAGUUCCUGUAUGAUGAAAGUUUAAAUUCCUACCACAGCCAUAUAUACAUGCUUGCUAGACUUUGAGCCACACAUUUACUGUUACUGCUUAUGAGCAUUGAGUGUGGUCAAGCUGUGUAGACCCUUAGGAGCUUGUCAUGUGGUUAAGUCAAGAUUCACUUGCACGUUCACUCAUAUAUGUUACUUCUACUCCGGAAGUACCAUCCACAUAUAUCCAUCCAUGUCCAUCUCUAGAACCACCCAAAAAUAUUCUACUCCUAAUCUGGGAGAGAAUAGCCAAAAAUAUUUCUAUUUUCCCUUGUGAAAUAAAUGCUCAAGUUAUCUUGCUACUACCACUUGCUAUAUUAUCUCAAGAGAUAAGUGCUCUGAAAAAAAGAAGAAAAGAGAAGAAAAGAAAAAAAUAAAAUAAAAUAAACGAGGAAAUAAAAAGGGGCAAGUGCCCGGAACCUCGAAAGAAAGAAAAAGUGAGACGAGAGGUAAAAAUGGACAAGUGUCCGACAGUAGAAUUAGGGGUACAAGAUACCCACCUGAGAGGAUAGAAAAAGAAGAGCAUCUCAUUCUCCUCAUAAAGUUUCCAAAAGCAAGGAAGGUAUGUAUCCCCUCAAAAGAGCAAAAGUAGAAUUAGACUUUCACCAUUGUUAUCACCAUCAUCACCAUACACCAUUCAUUCGCCACACAUGCACAUCUUGAUUUGGAUUAUUGAUUUGUUUCUUUGGAUCUAUGGUUUGACUGUACAAUAAAUGUCUUGUAAGUAUGUAUACUUUAUCUCCCACCUAUGAGCUCCAGAUAUUAAAGCCUUAUUAGAGUAGGGUGAGAGAGAAGGCAAUGUCACUAUGCCUUAUACCACAAAUACCACAUAUCUUGAGAGAAGGCAUAUACCAUCAUUGCCUUGGUAAGGAUCCAAAAAUACCACAAAAGAGAGAUUUAGAGAGUCAUACAAGGAAUCUCUGAGUUUUAUUUGAAAAUCUGCAAAAACUCCAGAGCUAUAGCUGAUCAAGAAUAAGAGACAUGGCACUUGGCUAGACUUUUCUAUCUUUUAACUACUCAAGACAGAAGUAACGGUUACAAGUCCCAUGGUGAAAGGUAAUGUAAGUAAGUUUAGUUCUUGACAGUUUACUCUAACAUAGAGAUGAGAUCUUAUUUAAAAGCAUGUGUACCGUCAAAUUUUUAAGAUAUUGCAACAACUUCUGAUCCAUUGCUGAGUCUAUCCUUGCUUAGGGACAAGCAAGAGGUAAGCUUGGGGGAGUUUGUUGACGGUCCUUAAGUAUCAAAUUUAAUUAUCAAAUAAACAAAGAAAAGGAUCUAAAUGAAAUCAACAUCUAGACUUAGGGUUUUAUCUGACAGAAUUCCACGAGGUUUGGUGUUUGUCUAUUUCUGCAGGGGGUUAUCAGGAAAUACGAAAGAAAGGCCCACACGUCGGGAUUACAUAGAGAUAUCAACAUGACGUGCAAUUAUUUUACAUCUAGAAGACUCCAGAAGCCACGGAAAGGAAGCGGAGGCCGAACGGAGCCAGGACCUGGGCGCCCGCCCAAGUCCUUAGGGCGCCCGCCCUGCUACAGUGGCCAAUCACGUUCAACCUCGUGGAUUAUGCUCCACCGACCUAAAGGAUCAAGAAUAACCGUUCAAUCAAUGUCGGUUUGAUCCGAUGGCCCAGGUUCACUUGAGGGGACUAUAUAACCAGACCCCCUGGCCCCUGGAGGAGACACCCCUUGAUCAUUAUUCAUUAUUCAUAGACAGAGCAAAAGCUAGGGUUUAGAGAUGAGAGCUCUCCUCUCUUCGCUAAACUAGAGUAGAUCUAGAUAGUAGCAAGAUGGAGAGCGAAGGAGGAUUAGAGGAGAGGCCGGCCUGUCGGUUCUUCCUCCGGUUGUACUUCGCCAUGAUCAAGCUCUAAUCAAGCUUGCUCAUGGGAUGACUCUGGUAAUCUACUUCUCAUUCAUUAUGCAAUUACUAAUUAUGUAUGUUCUGGUUCACAACUCUUUUGAGUACUUUAAUCUAUAGGACACUAUAGGUGAGAGUUGUAGUAUAGGUGUAAGCGAGGUGCUUAGAUCUAGAUUACUUGUGGAUAUCCCCUGUCUAGCUGGAUCGUAUGGUAGGCCGCGUAGGUGACAGUUACGUUGGUCCUCUGUAGUCCACCUCUCGUUAGCAGGAUGGGUAGGGUUUAUCGGCCUAAGGAUAAGCAUCCUUUGUGGUGUACUCUUAUCACGUGGUUCGUCCCAGACAUAGACAUACCCCUUUGAAGUAGAGAAACCAUAGUUAUUCUCUCUAUUCUGCUACCAUCGCCCAUAUACUAGAAUUGCUCUAUUCUCUAUUCCCAUAUUAUCACUCACUAUUAUCUUACCUUUAAUAUUGUUCUUAUUCAAUUCUACCAUCUUUCCUAUUUACACCUAUUUACUUAUCUUGGUUAAGUUAGAGCGUAGAUCAGUUCUCCCGUUUCCCUGUGGAUACGAUAAAACCUUUAACCGGGUAAAAGCUUCAACGGUAUCCGUGCGCUUGCGGAUUAUCUAUGUGCGUAUAAAUACCAUAGUACACUCUAGUGCCAUGCUGGGGAUGACAACCUAGUAUUCAAGUGGUGUUAGCAAGUGUCAACAAUUGGAACAAAGUGGGUCUUCCGGAAUAAGAAGGAUGAUCAAGGCAAAGUGGUGCGCAACAAGGCAAGGCUCGUGGCAAAAGGCUUUUCACAAGUGGAAGGUCUUGACUUCGGUGAAACCUUUGCACCGGUGGCAAGACUUGAAGCAAUCCGUAUCCUACUUGCAUAUGCAUCUAGUCAUGAUAUCAAGUUAUUUCAAAUGGAUGUGAAAAGUGCUUUUUUGAAUGGAUACAUUAAUGAGCUUGUCUAUAUUGAGCAACCCCCCGGUUUUGAAGACCCUAGGUACCCCAAGCAUGUCUACCGGUUGUCCAAGGCUCUCUAUGGUCUCAAGCAAGCUCCUAGAGCUUGGUAUGAGAGGCUUAGGGACUUCAUCAUUGAGAAGGGCUUCAAGAUUGGGAAAGUUGACACAACACUCUUCACCAAGAAAAUGAAUGGGGAAAUCUUCAUUUGCUAAGUUUAUGUUGAUGAUAUUAUUUUUGGCUCUACUAAUGAAGAUUUUUGCAAGAAAUUUGGUGAUUUGAUGUCCAAGGAGUUUGAGAUGUCCAUGAUUGGCGAGCUAUCCUUCUUCCUAGGAUUUCAAGUCAAGCAAAUGAAGGAAGGAGUCUUCAUCUCUCAAGAGAAGUACACUCAAGAUCUUCUCAAGAGGUUCAAGAUGAUGGAUUGCAAGCCAAUCCAGACUCCCAUGGCAUCAAAUGGGCAUCUCGACUUGGAUGAGGGAGGUAACCCAAUUGACAAGACUCUCUAUCGCUCCAUGAUAGGAAGUCUACUCUACCUCACCGCAUCUAGGCCCGAUAUAAUGUUUAGUGUGUGUAUGUGCGCUAGAUAUCAAGCAAUGCCUAUGGAAUCUCACUUGAUUGCGGUCAAGAGAAUUCUUAGGUAUCUAAAAUACACACCUUGCCUAGGCUUGUGGUAUCCCAAAGGUGCAAGAUUCCAACUUGUAGGCUAUUCCGAUUCGAAUUUGCCGGGUGCCGGAUUGAUAGAAAAAGCACAUCCGGAGGGUGCCACUUCCUAGGUAGAUCUCUUGUCUCUUGGAUGUCAAAGAAACAAAAUAGUGUUGCCUUGUCAACGGCCGAAGCGAAAUACAUUGCCGCCGGUGCUUGUUGUGCACAAAUACUCUACAUGAAACAAACUUUGCUAGACUAUGAAGUAGUACUAGACAAAGUACCUUUGUUGUGUGACAACGAAAGUGCCAUAAAACUUGCAAACAACCCGGUUCAACACACCCGCACAAAACAUAUUGACAUCCGCCACCACUUCCUUAGGGAUCAUGUUGCUAAAGGUGACAUAUCUCUAGAGAAUGUGGGAACGGAAAAUCAAUUGGCGGAUAUCUUCACAAAACCCCUAGAUGAAGCUAGGUUUUGUAUGUUAAGAAAUGAACUAAAUGUGCUUGACCUCUCUAACUUCACUAAAAGAUAAAAGUUGUGUGUUGAAACUUGUAAAUAACUUUUGCUUUGCAUAUCAUGCAUACUAAAACUAAAAUACAACUUGCAUGUAGGGCUUGUCUAACAUGGUUAAGAUAACCCCUUUGUGUGUGUGAAAAAGCUUAACCUUGGAUCAAACUUGACAAGCAUUAGUUUACUUUCAAGUAUUGCAUUACAACUCAUAUCAUAUGCAUGCUUGUUAAUUAACCGUUUCUUUUUAGUUAUCUGUUGAGCAUCCGCUGUGUUCGUCCAUAGAUAGGGGGAGCAUUCAAAGCUCAUUGUGAUUCUAACCCCUAGCUUUAUGGCCACAUGAUACUCCUUGGCGAUUUCUCGAAUUAUUUUCAUAAAAAUCUACUAAGCCUAUGGCUAAAUAUUUGUGAAAAUUUGAGGGUUUGAGAGAAGUCACUCAUACCAGUUUCAUUUGGUGUUUAUUUGCGUGUUAUUACAGAUGGAACUUGGUUGGGUCUUAGUCGGGUGUAGUGCUAAGUUGAAAAAGUGCUCAGAGGAGCACCGGACGCUGCACCGGACAGUGUCUCGGUGCGUCCGGUGCGCUGUGAGUGCCAGACUGCACUCACCGGACGCAGGAACAGUGUCUCUGCAGCGUCCGGUGAAGUGCGUCCGGUGCUCACCUGGCGUGACCUGAAGCACCGGACGCUAAAGCCAGCGUCCGGUGGCCAUCGUCCGGUGCAAUGCCAAAUUGCAUAUCUCUCUGCGCAUGAGUCCGGUGCCACAUUAAGAGCGUCCGGUGACCCCGCAGCGGGCGCAUAAAGCCCGCGCCCAGGGGCAUCUCGCAGCCGUUUCCCUUUCUCCUUUCAAUCUCGCCCGAGCCGUGCGUCUCCGCCUCCGCGCCCUAGCCCUAAGUCGCCGCCGCCGCCCCUUUGAUCUCCGGCGACAUUGGCUUCUCCCUCGCGUCAGAUCCGCCUCGCGAACUCCUCUCUUCCUUCUCCUCGCGCAGAGCCUUCUCUCCUGCGAAGAGGUUAGGGUUUGGGUGAGUUCCUAAUCUCCUUCCCUCGAGGUGUUCGAUUCAAUGCUUGAAUGGAUUAGAUUGUUGUUUCCGAUGACAAUUUGAUUCGUUUCAUAUCUACAGCACCUGGAGGAUUGGAUUCUCGUCUCCGGCAGAUCUCGAUCGCAUUAUUGAAUCUGGAACACGUCCCGUCGCCCGAUCGUAAGCCGUUCGCGCCCAUUGCUUAUCUAUUCUUGCGAUCUAUAGGGUUUUCUCACCUCUAGUCGUUAUGAUUACUUAUAUAUACCCUAUCUUGUCUAUUCUCUGCAGCGCGUUAAUCUUCUUUGUCAGUUGGUGUCAACGAAAGCUGGUCGGCAGUCUACCUUGGGGUAUACCCACGGUAGUAGUUUAUCGGUAGACGGUGCGCAAACUACGAACUCGAUGGUGACGCAAGACACGGACAAGCUUUUUAUCCAGGUUCGGCCACCGAGUUGGCGUAAUACCUACGUCAUGCGUCUGGUUGUAUUGAUUUGUGUUGAGAGAAUAUAUGAUGCCCUAGGGGGGUCCCUUGCCUCUCCUUAUAUAGUCCGGAGGGUAGGGUUACAGAUCUGGAAACUAAUCCUAGUCGGUUACAAUUGCCAUAGAUAGUUCGAUAUCAAUUCCUAUUCUAACCGACUAAGAUCCUGUUUGAUCUCCACGUCUUGUUUCCUUGCGCGAAACUCCGAGCUGUCGGAUCAAACCUUGAGCUUGUCUCGUAACGGGCCAAGCCUCCUAGCCCAAGUCUAGCCGUAAGGGUAUAGGGGUUUAUACCCCCACAGCUAGUCCCCGAGCACCAUGUAUUGUGAAGUAAUACGCCGUCUUGAGCUUCUUUGACCAAUGAAACUUAAGAUCUUCAAUCAUUAUGAAAAUUGCCCAAAUAGUUGCGACAACAGUUUGAACAAAUCUAAAGGCGUCCAAUUAACUUCAUCAUCAAAGAAGCCAACUGUUCGAAGAAUGCAUGGUGCUCUCGAGAAAAAUAUUCCUUUUUUGGUGAAGUGUGCCCACUUUACUUUUUUCAAAAGUACUGUCCAUCAACAAGACAAGCAAAUUCACCGCAAGGUGAAGUGUGCCCACUUAGUCCCCGAGCCUGGUAGCAGGUGACGUAGUCACGUGGUGCCAGGGUCCAAAGAAGAAUCUCCAAAGCUGCUUUGUAUGUAGGAUGCAUCGCUAGAUGCAUCGUACCGAUGUAGUCCCCGAGCUUGCUGGAAGGCGAAGUAUGAACCUUGUAGCAAGGUCUUAAAAAAACUGAAAUUAUCCAGUCCCCAAGCAUCCCAUGCUCAUUUACCAUGGAGUUUGCGGUUCGACGCUCUGGUCAACCAGUCCCCGGGUGUACAAUGGUCGACGAACUCUUUAGCUUGCUGAUUUCUAAACCAAUAAACUAAGCGAUCAGUCCCCGAGCAGCAAGCGCUCGGUGGUCGGAGCAGUCUCAACAAAUUUGACGACCAGUCCCCGAGCAUCGAGUGCUCGGUGGUCGGAGCGGUCUUUGAAGUUCUGAGUUAAUAGACUGGUCGACCAGUCCCCGAGCAUCAAGCGCUCGGUGGUCGGUGCAGUCGUUGAAGUUCCAAGUUAAUAGACUGGUCGACCAGUCCCCGAGCAUCAAGCGCUCGGUGGUCGGUGCAGUUGUUGAAGUUCCAAGUUAAUAGACUGGUCGACCAGUCCCCGAGCAUCAAGUGCUCGGUGGUCGGUGCAGUCCCCUGAUUGUUGACUCUCUGCCAUAUUUGUCUGCUUGUUUUGAAAAAAUCUUUCCAGAAAAAGUUGACGUGACGAGACCUCCUGACGAGAUGUCAGAUGGAUGCAUGAAAAGUUGCGCCUGGCAACUGUACAGCCGCCCUUUGCGCGGUUUGAGAAAAGGAAACCAUCAAUUUGUACGAAAACUCUGCCGCAUUAAUUGUCGAUAAUCAUUGAAAACCGAAGCGCCGCAUCCGCCGUAUGGCCCGCCCACUUCCCGAGGAUGCGGGAAGUGGGAGGGGCGAAGUUGUGGGUUAUAAGAGCUCGACAGUUCCCCCUGUACUGCUUACCCUGCCAUUGCCUUCAAGCCUUCCACUCUUGCCUCCUUCAAUCAUCUACACCUACCAAACUCAAAUCCACCUCCGCGCCUCCAAUGGCGAAGAGCGAUUCAAAGAAGAGGGCCGAGCUGAUGGCCAAAGAAUGGAAGAAAUCCCGUAGCACCGCCGAGUCCCUCAGUGACCUCGUCGAUAUGGGGCUACUGCACAGCUCGGAGCUCGGCGGCUGGAGGGCACCGGAGGGGGAGAGCUACCCCGACCCCCGCGCUGGUGAGAUCAUCGUGUUCGAGGAUUUCGUUAAGAGGGGUUUUGGGGUGCCUGUUCACCCUUUUCUUCAGGGUCUUCUUUUGUAUUAUGAGAUCGGGAUUUGCAAUCUGCACCCGAACUCAAUCCUUCUUAUUUCAACUUUUAUCCAUUUGUGCGAGGCCUAUGUAGGCAUAGAACCGCACUUCGAUCUCUUUCACUAUCUUUUUUGUUUGAGAAAGAAGGGGGCAGUUGGAGGCUCUAAGGUUGCAGGUGGAGUAUACCUCAACCUUCGCGACGGGAUGAAGAACCGCUAUCUGCACUGCCCCUGGAACACUUCCCUGACUGAAUGGCACAGGAAGUGGUUCUACAUCAGGGAGGAACCGGGCAGCUCCACGUUCUGCGACGUGGGAUACAUCCCCGAGAAGAGGGUGAGCUGGACCGAUCGCCCCGAGUACGACGGUCAAGUGGCAGACCUGAUGCGGCUGAUCGACUGGUCGCGUCUAGACGGGCUAGGCGUGGUCGGCAACUUCGUGUGCCGUCGGGUGAUGCCCUGCCAGAAGAGGGUGCACUCGGUGUACGAGUAUGCCGGAAGCAUGGACCCGACCAGGAUGCGACCUGAGAUCUUGGAGAAGGCGGAGGUACAGCAGCUGUUGAACGAGCUGUUCAACUUCGCGGACGGAGGCUUCAUCCGUGGCAGUGAUCGGGUGGAAGCUUUCAAGUUGGGGCGACCAGCGCCUAUGGUAUGUUAUUGAUUACUUCGCUUUAGCAUCCGUAUGUUGUCUGCAGCUGACUUAUUUUUGUUACUUUUGCAGAUCGGAGAUGUCGACCGGUGCACAGUGUAUGUAUCACUGGCACCUGGAAUGGAGAAUCCUGCGGGAGAAGAUCCGCCGGAGGAAGAUGCUGCUCGGUGUACUCGUUACACCAGCAGUGAGGAAGACCAGGCCCGCCCCGUCCCGACCACCGAGGAUAGAGUGGCGGGGAAAAGGCCAAUGGCGGCGGAUCCGUCGCCGGCGCCGACGCUGCCAGCAGAGAGCAGCCGAGCGCCAAAGCGUCGUCGGUUCGUUCGGAUUGCCGACGACGACGACGAGGAGGAGGAGGCCGCACCAUCGUUGGUCCGGAGGCCUCAUAGCCGUCCGGACAGCGUGCCGACCACUGCUGAUCGGGUGGCUGGCGACCCUCCUGCGCCUCGCGUUGCGGAGACGGGGGCACAGGUGCCGACCGGCCGGGCAAGGAGGAGGUUCACCGCGACCCACCGUCGCUCGGACCUGUAAGUGUUCGACUUACGUAUUUUGGCAUUUUUUUAACUGUUGUUGAAAAUAUCCCUUUGUUAUGUAGCGCGGCGUCGGACAUCAACCCCGACCAGACCGCGGAGCAGGGGACGGCCGCUCCUGUUGCCGCCGCUGAAGACGCCGCGCCACAGGUCACAGAGCAACCUGCAGCGGCGGCGGGCGCCGAUGACCAAUCUGCCCCUACGAGUGCUGCGACGAGCACUCAGCCGAGGGGUGAGGAGGCAGCAAGGGCCCCUCCCCCGAGUACUGUUGUAGAGGAGGAGAGCAGAGUCCCAACUCCUCCAGCCGAAGAAGGGAGGGUGCGGAUGCCGCCCUGAGCAGGGGCUUCUUCGCCCAUGGGCUCCUCUGGCCUAGGCCAGGGACCAGUGAUGCCCUCAACCGCAGCCGAAGGUAGUGCGGCAAACGAGGAGCCCCAGGAGGCCUCUGACGACGAUGUGGAGGAGGUCCAGGGUCAUCCCCCUGAUGGCCGCCAGCACGUCUACGUGUGGCGCCAACGCGGGGACCACUUUAUUGGCCACGAGGAGCUCGCGGAGACGGAGGAGGCCGCGAGGGUGGAGCGCGCGGCUAAGCGCCUCGUGGAGGAGGUUAAGGUAGGUGGUCCUGUGUUCUGCUGGGAUAACUUUUGUGCAGUGUUCCUGUGUUCGACAUGUGUUCUUUCUUGCAGGGCGCGAUGAAAACGGCGAAGUACCGAAAACGGUGCUUCGACCAGAUUGAGGGAAUUGUGGCCGAGAAUAAGGCCUUGUCCACGGAGGUAGACCGGCUGCGGUCGGAGGUUGGGGAGAAGGUGGCCGAGGUGAACGCCCAGGAGGAGCGUCAUCUCGAGCUCACUCGUCGCUUGACCGACCAGUACCGGCAGCGGUCAGGUCAGUCACGUGCUCCGAGCAGCUUUGUGUAGCUGCGUAGUUUACUUUACUGACCGGGUUGUGAUUCACGUAGACUUGGAGGAGGAGGUGGCGCGCCUCCGACAGGAGAAGGAGCAGCUCGGUCAAGAGCUAGCCGGCGCGCUGGAGGCUGGUCACCGAGCAGCGGAGGAGCUAAACCAGAGGGACCGGGACUUGUCUGCUAUCACGCGCCGCUCCUGUUGUUUGCCUCUUAUCGCUCUGUUUGACGCGCCGAGACUAACAUCUUCCUUGAUUUGCAGUGCUCAAUUGAAACACCAAGAAGCACCUGGAGGAUCUGGUCAAGGAUCGGGACUCCUGGAAGGUCAACUGCUGCAGGAUUUGGAGAGGAGUGGCCCCGGUUUUGGAUUUGAUCAGUCCCGAGCUCCCGGAGAGCCAGCCCCGCGUGCCAAAAUUGACUCCAGUGGAAAAGGCGCAACGGGCGUGGGACUGGCUCCAACAAUUCGUGAAGGACGCCGGGGAGUUUGCUGGCGCGCAUGUCCUUAGCAUGGUGCGCGCCCACUACCCCCUGGUCGACUUGACUAGGCUAGAGAAGGGGUAUCCCAAGGAGGUCGGGCCGCAGGAGGCGGACGAGCUUCGGGGUGGUCUGCUGGACUUGUCGUCGACGGUGAUCGGCGACAUCAAUCUAUGCGGAACGGCCACUCCCCCGACCAGCCCGGUUCAGACAGGUCGGCCAGGGAGCUGUCGGGCGCGUCUAUUGCGGGAGAUGGGUGGUCGACGCCUGCGGUCUCGACCAGCCAGGCGCCGGUGGCCCCGACCCCUUCGUCCGGGCAGCAGGGCCAGGAGGGUGAUCAGCCCGAGCAGUAGGCCAAUAGGGUAGUCUGUAGGAAUAGACUAGCGUCUACCCGUCAGGGUAUUUAUUGUAAACUUUGUAUGUAAAGUUUGUAAUAAAGUUUGCUUUUGUCAUGACUGUUAUUUUGAGCGCUGUACAAUUAUCUGAGUGACGUGCCACUAUAUUUGACUUUGUAGUCGCUAAGAGCUUCCGUUGCAGAAGGCUUUCCGAGUUCUGCGUGUAACAAAGUAUAGGCAAAAAAGAGAAACUUUUAUUAUUGACAGCUAUAAAAUAUUUACAAGCGAAAGUUAUUAGAACUUAUGGAUAAAAUCGGCGCAAUUUGUCUAUGUGCCAAGAGUUAGGCACGCGUGUUCCGUCUGGGUAUGCCAAUCUAUAGGACGUGGGUCGUGUGACUUUGGCGACCACGAAGGGUCCUUCCCAGGGAGUGGAUAACUUGUGCAUUCCCUCUUGGCUUGUUUUCCACCUAAGUACCAGAUCACCGACUAUGAAGGAACGGUCCUUGACGUUCCUGUUGUGGUAUCGCCUAACUGCUGCGAGGUACUUUGCUGUUCGGAGACAAGAAUUCAAACGCUUUUCCUCCAUGCAAUUGAUUUCGAGCUCUCUGGCGUUGUCGGCUGUUGACUGGUCGAUGUUUUCAAUCCUAGGACAACCGAAGGUUAUGUCAGACGGUAGGACUGCCUCGGUGCCGUAAACCAUGAAGUAGGUGACACUCCUGUGUUCCGACUGGUCUGAGUUCGGAGGCCCCAGACCACGGCCGGUAACUCUUUCAUCCAUCGACCGGGAGCUCUGUCGUUCUCGGUGUACAGCCUUUUCUUUAGGGCGUCGAUGAUCAUUCCGUUUGCGUGCUCAACUUGACCAUUGGCCCGUGGGUGAGCUACUGACACAUAUUUUAUGACUAUGCCCCAGUCAUCGCAGAAGUCCCAAAAUGUGGUGCUAGUAAACUGAGUACCCAGGUCGGUGAUUAUACUGUUUGGGAUCCUGAACCUAUGUAUGAUUUGAUUAAGGAACUCCACAGCCUUCUCGGAGGUUGCUUUGACCAGUGGCAUGUAUUCAAUCCACUUGGAGAACUUGUUGAUUAACACGAAAACAAACUUGAAGUUGCCGGGGGCUGGUUUAAAUGGCCCGAUCAUGUCGAGCCCCCAGCAGGCGAAGGGCCAGGAUGACGGGAUGGUUUGAAUCUCAUGAGCAGGUACGUGGGUCCUUUUAGCGAAGAACUGACAUCCCUCGCAGUGUCAGACCAGUUUUUCUGCAUCGUUGACCGCAGUUGGCCAAUAAAAACCUGCUCGGAAGGCUUUCCCGACCAGCGUUCUGGACGCAGCGUGAUUGCCGCUGGAUCCAGCGUGUAUGUCCUUUAGGAGCUUGAUGCCAUCAUCUUGGGAUAUGCAUUUGAGCAGUACUUCGGAACUUGCAUUUUUUCGCAUAAGUUUGCCGUCCAUCAGUAUGUAGUUCUUUGAUCGUCGAAUCAGGCGUUUGUUCUCUGUUUUGUCCUGAAAGCCUGACCCGUCCGAUAUAUAUCUUAUGAACGGGGUGCGCCAAUCGCGGCCACUGGUUGUCGGAGUGGCAUCGUCUAUGAGCAGUGCCUCAGUGAGUUGCUUUUCGACCAGGCCUGUGCCCACACUUGGCUCAUGGAUGUCCUGGACGAAAAUACCCCGUGGGAUUUGGGCCCGAGAUGACCCUAACUUCGACAACGCAUCUGCUGCCUGGUUCUUAUCCCGGACCACGUGGAUGUACUCUAUGCCGUAGAAGUUGGUUUCCCAUUUGUGAAUUUCUUUGCAGUAGAGAUCCAUCUUCUCAUGGGUUGCGUCCCACUCCUUGUUGAGCUGGUUGAUAACUAAAGCAGAGUCGCCAUAGACGUAGAGGCGGUUGACUCCCAGCUCAACGGCUAGCCUUAUGCCGUGCAGACAUGCUUCGUAUUCGGCGACAUUGUUUGAUGCCGGAAAGAGGAUCCUAAGGACGUAACGCAGUUUGUCCUUGUUAGGCGACACGAAUAGUAUUCCAGCGCCGGCGCCGUUGAUGUUUAAGGAUCCGUCAAAGAACAUUGACCAGUGGUCGGAGACAUCGGGAACGGGAGGCUCGUUGAGAUCCGUCCAUUCAGCAAUGAAAUCGACCAGGGCCUGAGACUUGACUGUGGUGCGGCUCUGGAACUCCAGGGAAAAUGGGCAUAAUUCCAUCGCCCAUUUUACGAUUCUGCCGUUGGCGUCUUUAUUGCGCAGAAUGUCCCCGAGAGGGAAACUGGUGGUUACGAAGACUCGAUGGCCGUCGAAGUAGUGCUUCAGCUUUCUUGACGUUAUUAGAAUGGCGUAUAUGAGCUUCUAUAUUUGUGGGUACCUGGCCUUGGACUCAUUUAAGACUUCGCUUAUGAAGUAAACGAGUCUCUGGACCUUGUAGACAUGACCUGGCUCAUCUCGUUCGACCACUAUUGCCGUGGAAACAACCCUGUCGGUUGCGGCAAUGUAAAGGAGUAGGUCUUCAUUGGGCUGAGGCGCUGUAAGAACAGGUGGUGAAGUGAGGAAAGUCUUAAGCUGAGUGAACGCGGCAUCGGCUUCCUCUGUCCAAGAAAAUUUUUUCGGCGCCUUCAAGAGUUUGAAGAAAGGGAGGCCUUUUCCUCCUAGUCUUGAGAUGAAGCGACUGAGGGCGGCCAUACAUCUGGUGAGCUUCUGAAUAUCCUUGAUGUUUUUAGGUGGUCGCAUGUCGAGUACUGCUUUUACUUUUGAAGGAUUUGGCCGUAUGCCGUCACGACUAACAACGUUGCCGAGCAGUAGACCAGAAGGGACACCGAAGAUGCACUUUUUGGGGUUAAGCUUCCACUUGUACCUAUUAAGCGCCUUAAAAGUUCAGUCUAAGUUGUCGAUUAGGGUGCUUGCAUCCCUCGUUUUGACGACGACGUCAUCUACAUAGGCCUCGACGAGGUCGUCACGAAUCUCGUCGUGGAGGCAUUGUUGUAUGGCCCGUUGAUAAGUGGCUCCGGCAUUUUUGAGUCCGAAUGACAUAGUCGUGUAGCAAUAUGCGCCGAAAGGAGUAAUGAAAGAUGUUUUGAUCUGAUCGUCUUCCUUUAGCAAAAUCUGGUGAUAACCAGAGUAGCAGUCUAAAAAAGAGAGGAGUUCGCAUCCAGCCGUUGAGUCGACCACCUCGUCGAUGCGAGGGAGACCAAAAGGAUCUUUAGGACAGUGUUUAUUGAGAUCAGUGUAAUAAACGCACAUUCUCCAUUCAUUAUUCUUUUUGCGUACAAGAACCGGAUUGGCGAGCCAAUCGGGAUGAUACACUUCUUUUAUGAAUCCGGCUGCUAGAAGCCGUGUUAUUUCUGUCCUAAUAGCCUCCUUUUUGUCACGAGCGAACCGUCGCAGCUUUUGCUUGAUGGGUCUUGCGGUCUUUGAGACAUUUAAGGAGUGCUCGAUCAGGUUUCAUGGGACGCCCGGCAUAUCUGCGGGUUUCCAUGCGAAAACGCUUACGUUGUCCCUUAGAAACCUGACGAGCGCGUCUUCCUAUUUGGGGUCCAGAUUGGCCCCGAUGAGGGCCGUCUUCUCGGGGCUGCCGUCGACCAGUUGUACUUCCUUAUACUCCUUGGAUUUUGAAUUCUUCCUAGCAGUCUCCUGCUCGGGUAAUCGGAGCUAGUCGGGAGGCAGCUGCGCGGCUUGGGUUGCUGUUUCUGCCAUGCGAAUUGAGAGGUCAAUUGCCUCGGUGAUCUUGAAGCUUUCCUCUUCGCAGGUAUAUGCGGUGUAGACAUUGCCUCUGACGGUUAGGACACCCUUCUCCGUAGGCAUCUUAAGGACCAGGUAUGAGUAGUGCGGGACUGCCAUGAACUUUGUCAGCGAUGGCCGGCCCAGUAUAGUGUGGUAGGUCCCGUCGAAGUUCGCGACCACAAAGUUGACGAACUCUGUCCGAAAGUGGUCGGGUGUGCCGAAUUGGACAGGCAGUGUUAUCUGUCCGAGGGGCACUGAACUCUGACCUGGCAAAACUCCCCAGAAUUGAGCAUCGUAGGGUUUUAGUUGUGCAGGAGAUAUCUUGAGAGUGGGCAGGCUGUUGCGGAAGAGGAUGUCAAUGGAGCUUCCUCCGUCCACGAGCACGCGCUCGAAUCUGAUGCUGUUGAUGCAAGGGUCCAGGAUUAGAGGGAAACGUCCUGGCUCUGGGAUAGCGGCCCACUGAUCCUUCCUGCUGAAAGAGAUCUCCCUGUGCGACCACGGGGGAAAUUUCGGGUCUGCGAUCAGUCCGUCUGUGCUGUCUAUGUUGAGGCAGGCUCUUUUUAAUAGAUUUCUUUCUCGCUUAGAUUCGAUGGAGACCUUGCCCCCGAAGAUGGAGUGGACCACGUCGGUGGGGCUGACGUAUUGGUGUCGAGGGUCCCUAUCUUGGUCCUCGUCCUCGUCUUUGUGGUCGUGCCCGUCUCGCUUGCCGUUUUUCUUGGCGGAGUCGUCUUGGGCGGCCCGCCGUGUAUAGAUGUUUUUGAGGACGCGGCACUCUUCCAUGGUAUGAUUAGAUUUUGGAUGUAGUUGGCACGGUUCCAUGUUUUUGUUGUAAUCUUCUUGGUAGUCUCGCCGCCCGUUGGGACGCUUGACCGUAUUCACUUCGUGGUCGUGGUCGCGGGGGCGCUUUCCUCUGAAGUCGUCGCGAUUAUCGCGCCGCCGAUCCCAGCCUUCUCUAUGAUCGCGGUUGUCGGAGCGGCAGUGGUUCCUGUUGUCGAAACGACCGCGACCGUCAUCUCGCCGGGGAGGCUGGUCGGGACCUCUCGCAUCGUCCCGGAUUAGUUUCUCUGCAUCGUCGGCAUCGGCGUAAUUUUUAGCCAUGGCGAGGAGCUCCGCCAUCGUUGUCGGCCUUUUGCGCAACAGUUUGUUCCUCAGUGCUUCAUGGAAACGUAGGCCCUUGAUGAACGCAGAGAUGGCCUCGUCGUGGGAAAUCUUCGGGAUCUUGAGGCGCAUAUCCGAGAAUCGUCGGAUGUAAUCGCGUAAGGGUUCGUUUUUCCUGUCCCUUAUCCUUUCGAGGCCAUACUUGUUUCCAGGCUGCUCGCAUGUGGCGAUGAAAUUGUCGAUAAAAGCCUGGCGUAGCUCUUCCCAAGAGUCGAAGGAGUCCUCGGGCAAGCCAAGAAGCCACUGAUGACCAGCCUGGUCGAGGACUACUGGGAAGUAGUUGGCCAUGACAUGCUCAUCCCCCGCUGCUGAUCGGACGGCGAUUUCAUAGAGAGUGAUCCAGUUCUCUGGAUUUUCCUUGCCGUCGUAUUUUUUGAGUUUCUCGAGCUUGAAAUUGCGGGGCCACACGACCUGGCGGAGGUGUGAGGAGAACUGUCUUAGGCCCGGGGGGCCGUGUGCUGCAUCGUACUCGAUACGGCGCAGGUUUUCAUGGACUGCUCUCUCCGUGGCGCGUGUGUUGAUGUGGUCCCGGGCAUCUUUGGGAGGGAUGUUAUAUCGAAGAUCCCUGUUCUGGUUUACUUCUUGACCGCGCCUGCGGCUCUGAUCGCGGUGACCGUCAGCAUUCCGACCACCAUCGUCACGCCGUGAAUCCUUUCGAUGGUUGUCGGGGGAACGGCUACGGUGAUGCCUGCUGGGAGGCGGUGAGGUCCGGCUACGAUUAGUCUGGUCGGAGGUGGCUUCCGUAUAAGAGACGGCCUGGACUCUUUUGAGCAGAGUGGCUGUCUGUCCCAUUGCGGCGAUCAGGUGCGCUCGGACGCUGGUUCGGACUCCUUGGCACUCAGGAGUAUCGGGGAGCCGAUCUAGGUUAGCCAUGGCGACAGCCACGUUGGCGCUUGGCGUUUUGUAGACUGGCUGGUCCCCGACCAUAUCAAAGGCGUCGCUGAGAUUAUGUGGUGGAAUUUGUCGUUCCUCAUCCGCACGUCGUCGGGCGCGAUUGGCGUUACGCUGCUCGCGGAGCUGCCUUUGCUCGUCUGUUUCUCCAUCGACGACCGGCUCGUCGGUGCUGACGUUAAAAACAAUGUCUCCUCACCGGGGGGGAAUACCGGGAAACGAGAGAAACCCGGAGGAUGUGAAAGCAAAUCCAGGUCGUAGUCCUCGUCUUCGGAGUUUAUAACUUCGGUGGGGACGGAACCGGUGCUCGAAUUGGUGCUCGAAGCCUGGCCAUCCCGUAGUUCGCGGAUCGUCACCAUGUUGACGUAGUGACGAGCAGAUUGACUGUUCCUUUUUGGCGGCCAACCCGCCUUGGUGAAAACGGAUUGGAUGUGCCGUGAGUAGAGAGUGGCCGAGUUGUUCAGGCCGCAAAGAUAAUCUUCCUCCGGGUUAGCCUUGAGCUUGACGGAUCGUCCUGAGGGAGUUGAGGUUAUCGUCAGAGACAUUCCUAGCCGUUCGUGUGUAACGACACGAGUUGGCUGGCGGGAUUUGAAAAAAUCCGUUGGGGCGGCUUGAUCAGGCUGGCGCAGGAUUCCAUCUACUAGUUGGGAGGCUUCGAGUAGCUUGGAAUCGGCGCGAUCAAGCGCUUGGAGAAGGUCCGAGCAGUCGAUCUUCUUUCUCUUGUAGAGCGGGAACGGUGGUCGGGCGCUCGGUGCCGUCACCCGAGUGGUCGGAGACGACGUGAUCUCAGAUUGGAUCUGAGUUUCUUCCGAAACCGUGGUCGUGAGGCCACCGCUGCGCGUAGUCCACGUGAUCUGGCCGACGGUGAGCGUGAGGCCUUCGGGCACGGUCGCGGAAGCUGGGAUUGUGACCAUCUCGUUCGCCGGAGAAGUUGCACGCACACCCCCUACCUGGCGCGCCACUGUCGACGAAAGCUGGUCGGCAGUCUACCUUGGGGUAUACCCACGGUAGUAGUUUAUCGGUAGACGGUGCGCAAACUACGAACUCGAUGGUGACGCAAGACACGGACAAGCUUUUUAUCCAGAUUCAGCCGCCGAGUUGGCGUAAUACCUAUGUCCUACGUCUGGUUGUAUUGAUUUGUGUUGAGAGAAUAUAUGAUGCCCUAGGGGGGUCCCUUGCCUCUCCUUAUAUAGUCCGGAGGGCAGGGUUACAGAUCUGGAAACUAAUCCUAGUCGGUUACAAUUGCCAUAGAUAGUUCGAUAUCAAUUCCUAUUCUAACCGACUAAGAUCCUGUUUGAUCUCCACGUCUUGUUUCCUUGCGCGAAACUCCGAGCUGUCGGAUCAAACCUGUUGACACCGUUUUUGGGCACGUGUCUAGGAUGGCAGGAUAAGGUGGCAGUAUGCUGUUUACAGGGUGAGUUACCGAUGAGGAUGGUUGCCGAUGAAGGAGAAGUUGAACGUGACUAAGUCUACAUGCAGUGAUAUGACUGUGCCGAUGGCUAGAUAAGAAAGUCUGCCGAUGACUAUGGCAAAGGGUCUGCCGAUAAUACAAAGAGGGAAUCCGGAAGCUGCCAGUCGUUGUGUGGAGGAGUUUCAGUUUGUCACGGGGGAUAGUUUUGUUAUUUCCUUAAUUAUGUACAUCGUUUUGUAUACAGAUUCCGUGUAAUUUGGAAUUCGAAUUCUAAUCGUGUCUGGUUGUAGCUCUUUGAGCAGGGUAUAAAUAUAGACCCUAGGGCCUUGUAAUGAGAUCUACCAAUCAAUCAAACACACGUUUUUACUCAUAUUCCAGCAUCUACUUUUCGACGACUUCGUCAUACUUUUUCCUUUUAUUACGAGUUCUUAGGAAUUCGUCGACUUAAGCUCGGCGUGUUCUCGAGUUCCGCGUGAGUACCUCUUAGCCGUGACAUCCGGGCGCAUCACUGUUGUCAGGACUAAAGUAUUCGAGUUAUCACCUUUGCCGAUAGUAAGGUCAAAUCGGCUGGCACGCCUUAACGUUUGAAUCGGGUAUUAGCCCUUUGUGUUUCCAGACCAGCUUUGCAUCAACACAUCUUUUGGCACGCCCGGUCGAUCUCUGACCUCGAUCAGGAGAACGUCAUCCCCGUGACGGAGGCCAAUCUCAAGGAUGAGCAGAAGCAAGCUAUUGCCCAAGCCAUGGAAGAGUUCAAGCUGCAAUGCCUGAGGUCUUUCAGCAUAAACAGGAGCGGCGAGGUGGUCCAGAAAGAUGCACUGCCGGCACCACGGUAGGUUACCUUUGAAGCCAAUCCUGGCAAGCUUCAAGAUAUGGUUGACAGCGCUAUCAACCGAGCUUUGAUCAACCAAGCUGGUGUACUGUCUAAUACGGUUUUCAAUGCCGUGGCAAGAACUUUCAAGGAAGGACAAAUCCCACCAGAUUACGUGGGCCCCUCUCAUCAUCAGCCAACGGCACCAGAGGUCACGGCUCCAUCGGCUGCUUUGACGGCUGCAAGUGCACAAUCUGCCGUCCCUCCAAGUACAUCGGGGACUACUGGUGCACUAUCUAUGCCGAUGACAACCAACCCACAAAUUUCAGUUGGGCAGCAUAAACUGACAACAGAUAUGUUGGCAUCGGCAAUGUCAGGGUUGACUCUUCCUCCCAACUGGUGGGGUUACGGUAUGCCUCCAGAGUUGACACCGUGAACAUCACAAAUAACUGACAUGAGGGGCAAGACUCCUAUGACAUCGGCACCUCCCAAUGCGCCGGUGAACCAGAGUCCUCGGUAUACCACAACUACUACUGCAAGGCCUCACACUGGAAAUCCUCAAGAUUCAAUGUUCCAAAUGCCUAAUGCAUCGGCAGAUUCAAUGCUGAUGCAACAGAGGUCUAUGGCACAGUCGGGGUAUGUCAAUUCAAUGAUGGUACCCAAUUACCAAUCAUCGGCAGCACCUAUGCCGAUGAACGCUAAUAAUGGAUGGCUUGGACAGCAAGUCUCUCCACAGUCGCCCCAGCAGAGUUAUCAGACUACAGGGUUCCAGCAAGGACAGGUCUAUCCCGGGUUCCAAGGUCAGGGGAUUCCCAACCAGCCAAUGAAUUUCGGACAACAACUCGGGGGACAGCAACUCGGGGGGCAGCAAAUCGGUGGAUAGCAGUUCAGUGGUCCGCAGAUUGGUGGUCAAAUAAUCAACCCAGUGUUCCGUGCAGAUCACGUCCCGAACAGACACGUGGAGGUUCGCCACCAAGUGCCAGAUCCGCAGCCGCCUCAUCGGCAGGAUGCCGACGCGUAUUGGGCCGAUAAGAUUGCUGAAGUAAUGAGGGAACAAUUUGGGAUAAAACCCAAAGUCAACACGUACUCUUAUCGGACACCGUAUCCUCCCACAUAUGAUUUGAUCCCGCUUCCACAUCGGUACAAGGUACCGGAUUUUACCAAGUUUUCCGGGCAGGAUGAUACGUCAACCAUGGAGCAUGUCAACAGGUUCAUCAUUCAAUGUGGAGAGGCUGGUAACAGGGACGAAUUGAGGGUUCGUCUAUUUUCAUCAUCAUUGUCUGGAUCGGCCUUUACUUGGUUCAUAUCAUUACCUCCUAAUUCAAUAAUUACUUGGGCCGAUCUAGAGAAAAAAUUCCACAAGUACUUCUUUUCUGGAGUUCACGAGAAGAAGAUCACCGAUUUCGUCAAAUUGAGACAGCGCAACGAUGAAUCGGUUGAAGGUUUCGUACAGAGGACACGGGAGGUUAAGAAUAAAUGCUACAGUCUGGUUCUAGAUGAUCGGCAGCUAGCCGAUUUGGCUUUCCAGGGUCUGUUGCCACAUAUCAGGGAUAAGUACGCCUCUCAGGAGUUUGAAAGCUUAAGUCAUUUAGUACAGAGGAUCUCUGAUCAAGACAUCAAGCCUUUCGAGCCCAAAAGAGCAUGGAAUAACAAAGUGUCAUUUGUCGAUGAAGCAACAAGCUCAGAUUCUGAUGAGGAACCAGUCAUCGGCUUGGCAGAAUGGGUAAAAAACAAGAAGCCGAUGUCUUGUCCUUUUGGGCAGAAGGAACCAGAGAAGUUUGCUUUUGACACCGCUAAGGCCGAUAGGAUAUUUGACUUUCUACUUCAGGAAGGUCAGAUCAAACUGUCACCUAAUCAUGUGAUCCCAUCGGCAGAGGAGUUAAAGAGGAUGAGAUAUUGCAAGUGGCAUAAUGCAACUUCCCAUGACACCAACGAGUGCAAAGUAUUCAGACAGCAGCUGCAAUCGGCUAUAGAAUCUGGGAGAGUCAAGUUUGACAGUUCCAAGGCCCAGAAGCCGAUGAAGAUAGACCAACAUCCUUUCCCGACAAACAUGCUGGAUGCCAAGGGGAAGGCUAAGGUCCUAACAACGGAGACAGUUGAGAAGAGUGCAUCGGUAGAUCCUCAGCAUCAAGUUACUACUGCCGAUGCAGGAAGUAAGGGCUUGGUCCAGGAAGGAACUACCUCAGGAAGGCCUCCUCGGUCUGGUAUCGUUAUAACUCAUAGAAGGCCUCGAGAAAAUUGGCAGCAACGGGAGGAUCGGUAUCGGCGCCAGCAAGAAGAUUAUCGACGGGAGGAAGAAAGACGCCGACAGGAGUGGAAUCGGCACAGAGAUCAUUGGAAUUGUCCGUUCUUCAUCCAUUGUUGGGAGGAAAAUAUCAAGCUUCCUACUGUCAGAGACUGUCCUGAGUGCAACGGUUAUGAUCGGUACGAUAGAACCGAUCGGCGUUAUCAUGAUGAUGAUCGGCGAUUUAAUGGGCCAAUCAGAGGAAGGGCGUCAGUUCAUGAUCGGCUGGGGGGCAGGCUUAGCGUGCACGAUAGGCUUGGUAACCGUGUCCAGUAUUUUCCCAGGAACCAGGAGGAGCUCGAGGAGAUGGCUAAUGCGCGGGUUCCCGAUGAGUUCAUAUUUUGCAGGGAUGCUCACACGCAUCGUAUGGAGUCAAGGGAGAAUCGACGCCCGACAGCAAGGCAAAAGCCACUUCCUCCAUGGUGCCCUGAAGGAUUAACCAAGACACAGAAAAGGAGAUUGCAACGUGAAAGGCAAGAGGAGCUAAGCAAGGGCGAGGACUCUGGAAAUCAGCAGCCAUCAGACCCUAAGAGGGAAGGUCCAUCGGCAGGAGUCAACAUGGUCUGUAUGUUGCCGAUGGAGUUUCUUGCACCAUCCAGUGAUGAUGAGUUAGAGUUUUCUGAUCAGAUAGCUCAGCUGGCUCUGGAUCCUAUGACAGCUAUCUUUGAGAAACCUGCCGAUGAUGAAAGACAGCAUCUCAAAGCUUUGUUCGUCAAAGGCAGAGUUGAUGGGCAGCCAAUGACCAAAAUCCUAGUUGAUGGUGGGGCUGCUAUUAAUAUUAUGCCGUACGCAGUGUAUCGGAAGCUUGGGAGAGGAGAUCAGGAUUUGACCAAGACCGAUAUGAUGCUCAAAGAUUUUGAAGGAAACGUGUCUCCAGUCAAGGGGGCAAUAUGUGUGGAGUUGACCAUCGGCAGCAAAACCUUGCCGACAACUUUCUUCGUGAUCAGUGGAAAGGGUGCUUACAACUUAUUGUUGGGAAGAGAUUGGAUUCAUGCCAAUUAUUGCGUCCCAUCUACAAUGCACCAAUGCUUGGUUCAGUGGGUAGGUGACAAGAUUGAGAUUGUCCCAGGAGAUUCUUCUUAUGUUAUUGCAUCGGCAGAGGCGGAUACCUAUGAAAGGACUAGGUGCAUUUCAGGGGAAGUUUGGGAGAAAGAUUUUCUCAAAGUUGCCGAUUACGAGAUUCCACCGAUCCAAGCAGUCGGUUCUGACGACGGUUUUUAAUGGAUAGAUUCGCCGAUGAUGGAAAAUUAGGCCAGGGAUUCACAUCGGCCGAUGAUUUGGUAGAAGUAGAUAUAGGUAGUGGUGAUAAGCCUAGGCCUACUUUUAUUAGUGCUAAAUUAGAUCAUGAGUGUAAGCAACAAUUAACUAGUUUGUUAAAAGAAUAUAAAGAUUGCUUUGCUUGGGAUUAUACCGAGAUGCCUGGUUUAGACCGAUCAAUUGUUGAACAUCGGUUACCCAUCAAGCCUGGAUUUCGGCCACAUCAGCAACCAGCUCGCCGAUGUAAUCCUAACAUUCUAUCUGAUAUUAAGGCCGAAAUCACCAAACUCAUUGAGGCUAAGUUUAUUCGGCAGUGUCGGUAUGCCGAAUGGAUUUCCAAUGUUGUUCCGGUUUACAAGAAAAACGGGAAGCUUCGGGUGUGCAUUGAUUUCAGGAAUCUCAAUAAAGCUACACCGAUGGAUGGAUACCCAAUGCCUAUUGCCGAUCUGUUGGUUGACGCUGUGGCUGGUCAUCGGGUCAUCAGCUUUAUGGACGGCAAUGCAGGAUACAAUCAAAUAUUCAUGGCAGAAGAAGAUAUUCCAAAAACCGCAUUUAGGUGUCCUGGUCAUGUUGGGUUAUUUGAAUGGAUAGUCAUGACCUUCGGGUUAAAGAAUGCCGGUGCUACUUAUCAAAGGGCCAUGAAUUUUAUAUUCCAUGAGUUCAUCGGCAAGCUGGUGGAGAUUUAUAUUGAUGAUGUGGUGGUCAAGUCUGGAGUUUUCUCAAAGCAUCUUGCCGAUUUACGAAAAGUGUUAGAGUGCACAAGGAAGCAUGAUUGAAGAUGAAUCCCAACAAGUGUGCAUUUGGUGUAUCGGCAGGGCAGUUUCUUGGUUUCAUGGUACAUCAAAGGGGGACUGAAAUUAGUCGAAGAUCUAUUGAUGCCAUCAAUAAGAUAGUGGCCCCCACCAACAAGACUGAGCUCCAGUCCUUGAUCGGCAAGGUAAAUGUUAUCAGGAGAUUUAUAUCCAAUCUGUCUGGUAAGAUUCGUGCUUUCAGUCCUCUUCUUAAAUUGAAAGCCGAUCAAUAAUUUAUUUGGGGAAAGGAACAGCAGUUGGCUCUGGAUGAAAUCAAGAAGUAUCUAGUAAAUCCUCCAGUUCUAGUUCCACCUCAACAAGGAAAGCCCUUCAGAUUGUAUUUGUCUACCGAUGGGAUAGUUAUCGGUUCAGCUCUAGUUCAAGAAUUUGAAGGGAAAGAAAGGGUAAUUUAUUACUUGAGUAGGAGGUUGAUUGAUGCUGAAACCAGGUAUUCGGCCAUUGAGAAACUAUGCUUAUGCUUAUAUUUUUCAUGUAUUAAGUUGAGACAUUACUUGUUAUCGGCCGAAUGCACUGUUGUUUGCAAAGAUGACGUGGUCCGGUACAUGCUAUCUAUGCCAAUUAUGAAUGGCAGGAUUGGUAAGUGGAUUUUAGCGCUGUCGGAGUUUGAUCUGCGUUACGAAUCGGCUAAGGCAGUCAAAGGGCAGAUUAUGGCCGAUUUUGUGACUCAGCAUUGCGGUGUAGUGGAAACCUUGGAAAUUGUACCCUGGACGCUCUUCUUUGAUGGAUCUACCUGUGACCGGGGGGCAGGAAUCGGCAUUGUAUUAGUUUCCCCUAAGGGGAGGAAGUACGAGUUUUCCUUACCGAUUGUUGCAACAUCAACGAAUAAUCAGGCAGAGUAUCAGGCUCUGAUCAAGGGAUUGGAAUUGUUGAGGGAAGUUCGUGCUGAUGCUAUUGAAAUCUUCGGAGAUUCUAUGUUGGUUAUAAAUCAAUUGGCCGGGAGUUAUGAAUGCCGAAGCGAGAUUCUCAUUACUUAUUACGAGAAGAGCAUGCAACUGUUAAAGGAAUUCAAGGAUUUCCGAUUAGAGCAUGUUCCUCGAUUGCAUAAUGAAGAGGCCAAUCGAUUGGCUCAGCAUGCCUCGGGAUAUCAGCCUAUGAUUAAUGCGAUAUCGGUAAUCGGUGCCGAUGAUUGGAGGAAGGAAAUUAUUGAUUAUCUAAAAGAUCCAUCUAAAAAAGUCGAAAGACGAGUUCGGUUUCAAGCAACCAAAUAUGUGCUCCUUGAAGAUGAAUUGUAUUAUCGAACUAUUGACGGAAUUCUUCUCCGAUGCUUGGGUGAUGAUGAAGCUAGAAGUUUGAUGGGAGAAAUCCAUGAAGGAGUGUGUGGAGCGCAUCAGUCAGCUUUUAAAAUGAAGUGGAUGAUUCGAAGGAAUGGAUAUUUUUGGCCGACCAUACUUGAGGAUUGUUUUAAAUAUUUCAAGGGGUGUCAAGGUUGUCAAAAGUUUGGUAAUAUUCAAAGAGCACCCGCAUCGGCUAUGAAUCCUAUAAUAAAGCCUUGGCCGUUCCGGGGAUGGGCUAUCGAUCUGAUCGGCCAGAUUUAUCCACCAUCUAGCAAAGGGCAUAAGUUCAUUCUAGUUGCCACUGAUUAUUUCACUAAGUGGGUUGAAGCUAUUCCUUUGAAGAAAGUCACAUCGGCCAAUAUGAUUGAUUUUGUGAAGGAGCAUAUUAUUUACCGAUUUGGGAUCCCUCAAACGAUUACUACCGAUCAGGGCACUAUGUUCACAUCGGGGGAGUUUGAUGAAUUCGCAAUCGGUAUGGGGAUUAAAGUGUUGAAUUCUUCUCCUUAUUAUGCUCAAGCCAAUGGGCAGGCCGAGGCGUCUAACAAAGGAAUUAUCAAGCUUAUUAAACGAAAGAUUGAAGAAAAUCCUAAGCGGUGGCAUACAUUAUUAAAUGAAGCAUUGUGGUCUUAUCGGAUGGCUUGUCAUGGAUCAACCAAGGCGUCACCCUAUCAAUUGGUGUAUGGACAUGAUGCGGUGUUGCCUUGGGAAAUUAAGGCUGGAUCUAGGCGAUUAUCGUUUCAAGAUCAAUUAACUUCCGACGAUUAUGCCACUUUGAUGACCGAUGAAUUGGAUGAUCUAGCGGGGCAUCGGUUAAAAGCCUUAAUGAGUAUAGAAGAAAAUAAGAAGAGAGUUGCUAGAUGGUAUGAUAAGAAAGUGAAGGCUAAGGAGUUUGCCGAUGGGGAUUUGGUAUGGAAAUUAAUUUUACCAAUCGGGACUAAAAGUUCGAAGUUUGGAAAGUGGUCUCCUAAUUGGGAGGGUCCUUAUCGGAUAAGUCGAUCGGCUCCUGGUAAUGCCUAUAUUCUAGAAACUCUCGAAGGAGUUGAAUUUCCCAGAGCAUUAAAUGGCAAAUAUUUAAAGAAGUACUGCCCCAGCAUAUGGGUCGAUGCAUAAAAGUUUCAGUGCCGAUAACACUCCUAUCGGCUGAAUUAAAAUGUAUCUAGAGCCAGAUUUGAUGUUUCAAAAAAUGCCGAUAACAGUCCUAUCGGCUAGACUAAAAGCUGAGGAAGCAGGAAAGCACAGAUAUGAUGCCGAUAAAAACUCUAUGUGUUAAGCAAUGCCUGGAUUGCCGAUAUAGCGCGCAGCCGGAUUUGGUUGGCUGCUUCUAUUUCCUUAAUGUCAUCAUCGGCAGAACCUUCUAUCGGCUUUAGCUUCUUCUUCAGUUGAAGUGCCUUGCGACCAUGAGCAUUUCGCUCGUGCUCAAGAAGCUUAAUGGUCUCUGGCAAUUGGCUCUCUUCCUGUUGGACUUGGGAUAAGGCAUCCUCCACUUCCUUGAGUUCCGCCAACAGGGAUUCUCUUCUUGCCGACAGAUCGAAUAUUUUCUGUUUCAGCACGUCUCCUCAAGAUCUCAGGAUGCCGAUGUUCUUGUGCUUCUCAUUGGUCAAGAGCUUCUCUUUCCUCAUUUCAACGGAGAGUUGAGUCUGAGCGGCUCUAUCGGCAAGACGCCGAGAAGCUCUCUGGUACUGCAGCUGGCGACUCUCCAAAUGAGCGGCUUGGAACAGGAUUUCUUCGACGUCGGCUGGGAUUUGGCCUCUGAGAGUUCUGAACAGGGUCUUGGUAGGGUCGGAGUCAUCAACCAAUUGCGCUGUGUCCUGGUGAAGGAGAGCUAACAAUUCUUCCAGCCUGGCCCUGAUCUCUGCCGAUGUAAUGCCGACUGUCUGAGAAGAGCUUGCUUCUUCGCCUUCUUCUUCAGAGAGAUCGAUGGCGAAGGAAAACAGGCUAUCGGGAGAAUCUUGUUCCUGGGAGGGAAAGCAAGGUUAGCUCAUAUUCAGAGAAUCGGCAAAUAAUGCUGACGGUAAACAGUGACUUACUUGCUUCAAGGCGAUCUCUUGCCUUGGACUGGGAGGUGCUGACGGAGCUGCAGGCUGAUCGGCCAAAGAUGCCGAUGGAACUACAGGUUGAUCGGCUAAGGUUGCCGAUGGGACGAUAUCGACUGAAAGAAGACAAGAAAGGGUAUGAGACUAAAUGAGAAUAAGUUCAUCGGCAACGGUAUUGUUAAAGUAUGUUACCUGGAGGAGGAACAAUGGUUGUCUGAAUCGGGAGAACCGCCGAUGAUAUAAUUGGACCCACCGGACCAGUUGUUUGUUCACCCACAUCAGCUGAUGUACCUUCUGUUUGAGGCUCUUCCUGCUGGGGUUCUUCCAUCUGUGGUGCUUCCUGCAUUGGUUGGGGAGAUGGUGCUUGCUGUGUCUGGACUUCUGGAGAAGAAGGAGAAGACUCCACUGGGAUUGGAGAUACCGGAGGAGGAGGGGGAGUUGCCACUUUUUGGCGUUUCGUUUCGGCCCUGGUGCUCUUGACACCCUUCCUCUUUGGCUGGCUGGACUGGGGGGCAUCGGCACCUUGACGUGUGACCUUUGCCGAUGCACUGGUUUGCUGCAAUAACGAACAAGGGUUUAUAAGUAUAAAUAAAGCCGAUAUAAAGAUAGUCAGCGUAAAAGAAAAAGAUUUGACAAAUUGCCUUGAAAGCCCGCACCAGAGUGGGAGCAGCUACCGUUGGUGAUGUCUGGGUUCUCCUGGUGGUGACUUUCCUGAGGCGCACACCCCGAUGCACGAUGGAAGCCAGAGUGGGAGCAUUGUGGCCGAUUGAGGAAAUCGGGCCUGAUGGAAACAAGUCGAUCGGCUUGCCACUCCUGCUAACCGAUGGGGGGAUGUCGUCCACCUGCAAAAGGAAUACAAGGGUAAGCUACCGAUGGAAAUAAUGUUGAGAAAAUCAAACAUCGGUUGGAGAUGCUUAUAGUGUCAUCGGGAAUUUCGUAUUCGGAGUCGAUCAUGCCGCGGUAUGAAAGGGCCGAUCUGCAGAAUAGAUGCUCUUUCCAUUCUGCCCACCAUAACUUGUAUGCCUGAGUGAUAAAAGCAGCCGGAACCCAUUCUGACAGAUCUACAUCUGUAUGGGCGUUUGGUGGUAGUUGGGCUACUCGACUCCACUCAAGAAAGUUGUUGAUAGUUUCUUUGGGUUUUAUCACAUCGGCAUAAGGAAGUGCGAUCGGCAACUGGCCGAAAGCUAACUGGCGAGCUAAUGCCGAUGGAUUGUAAAAUUCAUAAGUCUGGGGAGAGGUUUUUGUGCUACCGAAGAAAUUCACUGGAAUGGCUCUGGGAGUCACAAUUGCCAUCAUCGCCUCAUUGUCCCUGUCGAGAGCUUCAUCAAAUGGAUUGAAGGUCAGAGGGAGCAUGCUAUCUGGGUCAUCAUAAGCCAACCAUGGUCGUUCAUCUUUGGCCAAACCCUCAUACAGAGUCUGGAAGAAUCGGCCGAUCUGAUCCGGAUUACUCCCUGAACCAGGUAGAACUAUGACAGCUUCGCCAAAGUUCAAGGGGGCACGCGUUGCCGAUUCCUCUUCACCCAACACAUGAUUUUCGGCUAUAUCUCUUGGGAAGUGCUGUGUGAACAAGUUGAAAUCAAGGCGCUUAUGCAGGUGCAGAUUGAGCCACAUAUUAAUAAACCACCAGGGGCCUCCCAAGUUGCCGAUGGACUGGCCAACCAGGAGUUUCUGGGCUACCUGAUGGAGAAGAUGGUAAACAGCGCCAAGCAAGUAUCAGCCGAGAGGAAAUUGGCCACCAUUAGCCAGUCUCUCUGCUGCCGAUAGAUAGACGGAAGUCGGUCCUGCCGAUCGACCACAGAAUACAAACUUGUCCAUCCACAUGUUCAGAAAGGUGGUUUGCUCCUUUAUGGUGACAGGCCCUCUCCCGCGGUACUUCUGAAUGUACCCUGACCAACCGCCGAUAGCGCGAGUCUCCACUUUGGCACUGGGGGCAGUAUCAAAAAAGUGGGUGCUAUCGGCAGAAGAUAUAUCUAGACCAGUGAGCAUGGCUACAUCGGCAAGGGUAGGAGAAGCAGGGCCGUGGCCAAAAACAAAAGCAUUGAGGGUGUCUGACCAAAAGUAGGACGCAGCUAUCAGCAGUGACUCGUUCCUGUGCAUAUCGGCAAUGGAUAGCCUAAUGCAUUGGGCUAGCUUCCUUUCGCCCCACUGGACUUCAUAAGAAUUGCUGACCCUCAAGAACCAUUCCUUCCACCCUACGGUAGGGCUGGGCCAAGAGCGAAAAGUGUCUUUCCACAGAUCUAAAGAAAAGUUUUCAGCUCUAAAGGGGAUCCUGUUGGAUUCUGCGUUGAUAAGGUCGGUUGGAUCUGAAUCCCCUAGAGGGCCGAGACAUUGAAGGUGUGGUUGAUCGGUAGGGAUGACACUUUUAUUGGACAACUCCUAGUGAUUUUGGGGGUAAAAGAAAUACACAAAAAAAAAGAGGAGGAAAAAGAAGAUAUUCAGUAAAAUGAAUUACGGAUGAACAGAGAUACGAGGAAAAAUAUGCAGGAGACGGGAUGGAGAUCUGACCUCAGGAACGACAAAGCUAACGGCCAUCUUGCCGCGAAGAGAGCGUUUGAGGGCACCGGAGUUGAUGAGUAGGAGUGCUUGACGGAGGUCUUGGGAGUUUCGAAUGGCGCCGCCGCUAGAAAAGUAAGGUUGGGCGGUGGAAUGAUGUGAUGGGGAAGGAGUACCCGAGAAGGAACUAUUUAUAGGACAAAAUGGACAAGGGCAAAUCUGACUUAUCUCUUUGCCGCAUCCGAGAAAUCUGAGGGUACUCAGGUAGAUAUGGUAACUGUUCGCACGGUAAUCAAGGGAUUGCGCAGGUGAUUUGACGGGAGGCGGUCAUUAUUGAAGAUAUUUUACUGUGCGAGAUCUCCUGGUCGGUCCAUCGGCAGCGUUCUAUAACGGUCAUAUUGCCGAUGCGCGGAUAGAGGGGAGGUAGCCGUUUGUACGAACAUCCUGGCUAGUACAUCGGCAGAUCUUUGUAAUGGUAUUAUUGCCGAUGUACGGUUGAGAGAGAAAAGCCCGUUUAGGAAGUUGGGGAUUUCGAGGAAUCUGCGGAGGUAUAGGAUCAGAGUUGUUCAGAUUGAGGUUGUCGGUUACCAAAUUAGGAGCAUUAAUUGCGGGAAAAGGCAUCAUUACUGCAGUGAAUUUCGGAGCAUUAAUAGUUUUAUACUCCGAAAUUGGGGGCAUGUGUUGACACCGUUUUUGGGCACGUGUCUAGGAUGGCAGGAUAAGGUGGCAGUAUGCUGUUUACAGGGUGAGUUACCGAUGAGGAUGGUUGCCGAUGAAGGAGAAGUUGAACGUGACUAAGUCUACAGGCAGUGAUAUGACUGUGCCGAUGGCUAGAUAAGAAAGUCUGCCGAUGACUAUGGCAAAGGGUCUGCCGAUAAUACAAAGAGGGAAUCCGGAAGCUGCCGGUCGUUGUGUGGAGGAGUUUCAGUUUGUCACGGGGGAUAGUUUUGUUAUUUCCUUAAUUAUGUACAUCAUUUUGUAUACGGAUUCCGUGUAAUUUGGAAUUCGAAUUCUAAUCGUGUCUAGUUGUAGCUCUUUGAGCAGGGUAUAAAUAUGGACCCUAGGGCCUUGUAAUGAGAUCUAUCAAUCAAUCAAACACACGUUUUUACUCAUAUUCCAGUAUCUACUUUUCGACGACUUCGUCAUACUUUUUCCUUUUAUUACGAGUUCUUAGGAAUUCGUCGACUUAAGCUCGGCGUGUUCUCGAGUUUCGCGUGAGUACCUCUUAGCCGUGACAUCCGGGCGCAUCGCUGUUGUCAGGACUAAAGUAUUCGAGUUAUCACCUUUGCCGAUAGUAAGGUCAAAUCGGCUGGCACGCCUUAACGUUUGAAUCGGGUAUUAGCCCUUUGUGUUUGCAGACCAGCUUUGCAUCAACAAAACCUUGAGCUUGUCUCGUAAUGGGCCAAGCCUCCUGGCCCAAGUCUAGCCGUAAGGGUAUAGGGGUUUAUACCCCCACAGUUGGUUGUUUGUUGGCCGUUCGAUCAGUCAGUAGUUCUUGCAAUGGCACGUUGCAAGAAUGUCAGUGGACCGGCAGCCAGCGCAGGAGGUUCCCCAGGGGUUGAUGGUGGAGGUGAUCCUCCCCGUCACCUGUCAGCGGCAGAGAAGGGCAAGGGAAAGAAGUUGGCCACCAAGAAGCGCAAGGCCAGCGACAGAGAGGUAGAGGUGGCUGAGGCAGUUGCAGCAGCAGCAGAGGCAGCUGAGAGGGGAGGACGGUCAGGUGCCCUUCGGAUUGGGGCAGAUCUCACGCCACGUCAGAGGCGUGCAGUACUUGAGGCCGAGGCUCGACAUGCAUCACCACCAGGCACCAUCAUGCUAGGAGGGCAGCGUGUCAGGAUCAACAUCAGAGAGCCAGCUCAGGAGGAUCCAGACACAGAUACAGAGGCAGAGGCCCCGGCAUAGGGGCCAGCAGAGGGACAGGAGCAGGAGCAGCCCCUCAGGAGGUCGACUCGCGCACGUACCCAGGCCACUCCUCGGACUGGUACGCAGGGCCAGUCCACCUCCACUGCUCGUGCCACACCAGCCAGAGGCACUCCAGCUUCACGACAGAGGCCAGUCAGGAUCCACAGGGAUCUCACCCUUGUGUCAGCCAGAGAGAUCCAGAAGCUGCGGUUCGUUCCAUUUCCCACCUGGUUUCCAGCUGCCAGGAAUCCUAGAGCCGGUGAAAGGUUCUACACAGUCGUCCAGGAGGACAUCCACGAGGCACUGGUUCGCUCUCAGUCUCAGUUCAGGGAGCACCGAGUUAUUGACCUUGAGAUACUCGGGAACGUGGUUGGGGCAGAUAUUCGUCAGUAUUUCACCUACCUCCACGAACUCCCAGAGUUGCUAGCACUCCCUGGUACUUAUUGUGAGCAGUGGGUCAGAGAGUUCUAUGCGUCAGUGUGGGUGUCUCUAGACCAUAGCUACAUCCACUACGCUCUGGCAGGCACCGACUACAGAGUGACAGCACAGAGGGCCAGAAUGGUGCUUGGGCUGCGAGCUUACUCCGCCAGGAUUCACCAGCUAUGCUACGGGAAAGUUGAGCCUCCCCGACGUCCUCACGGUGGUGAGAUACCACCAGUUGACUUCGUGGCUCCUUGAUUCCGUCCACCGUUUGGAGAGGGCUCCAGCAGGACAGUGGGAGACUUGACACGACCAGCUAGGAUCCUCGACUUUGUGUUGAGGAAGACUCUUCUCCCCAGGACAGAUUACAGAGAUGGCUUCACUCGUAUCCAGCAGUGGCUAGUUGCUCACCUCAUCUCCCAGAUGCAGUUUGACUUGUCAGAUCUAAUCGUCUCAGAGAUAGAGGACACCAUCUCAGAGAGCUUCAGGGGACGGCGUCAGUUGCCAUACGCACAUUGGAUCACCUUGCUUAUUCUCCUUGCCAGGCCACUACCCCUGCCAACUCACUUGUAGAGGGAGUUGACAGAGUCAGACACCGUGUUCCCCCACUACGACCCCAGGCAGAUGCUGCGAGCACACCACAACCUCCAAGCUACUCCUCCUCCUCGUGCACCACGUGGACCGGUGCCCCCACCUUCUCCUAGGGGCACUGGCAGUACAGCAGCAGUACCAGAGACAGAGGAGCAGCAGGACAUAGCCAUUGGGGCUUUCGCAGAUGCAGAGGCAGAGGGAGAGUUUGACUUCGCCUCAGACAGCUCGGAUGAUGAUUAUCAGCCGCCAGUGUUAGACAUCCCUCCAAGAGCACACGACCACGAGGCAGGGGGCUCCUCUAGUGCUUCAGACCCAGCUUUACUUGCUAUUCUAGAGGGUAUGAGGGUAGAUCAGCGACGUGCAGCUGAGGAGCAGGCGAGGCGAGACAGGGACCAGGCUGCCAUCAAUGCAGCCAUGCAGGCCAGGCAGGAUGAGCUCCAGCGCCAGCUUCUCACCUUUCAGGAGCAGCAGCUUGCGUUCCAGGCCCAGCAGACAGCGAUGAUGGCCGCUCUCAUGGCCGCCUCAGGGAUUCAGCUACCGCAGAUUCAGCUCCCAGGCACCUCGACUGUCAGACCACCCACUCCAGUGCCUCAGACUCAGAGCCAGUCUCAGCAGCCUCUCCAGCUACCAGCUCAGAGUCAGCUGUUCUCGACGCCUCAGCACCAGGUCUCCCAGGGUGCUAUCUCCUCUAGCUUUGAGCAGGUACCACAGUUUACACCUCUCCGCUCUGGUUUCACAGCGCAGUCAGCGUCAGCGUCUUAGCUUUUGUUGGAUACAUCGACAGACCCGCACCUCAGCUUCUCCUACAGUGCUCUGACUGGUGACCCUACGCCUUCACCUCUGCAGGCUCCAGCCAUCUUUACGGCGCCAGUCACCACUACAGAGCGUCUGUCAUCGUCUGUAGCGUCGUCUGAGCAGCUUGCACCGUCUUCCACCGUGCCCGAGACGACAGCCACAGCGACCGAGUCCGUGCCAGCUUCGUCAGCAGGACUCGAGCAGCCAGCACAGCCCGUGACAGCUCCAGCACCUACAGAGCAGACCCGAACCGCUUCGCCAGCUCGUGCAGCUUCAGAGGGUCACUCUACCUCCUCUGCCUCGACGGCCGACAGUUCAGACGAUGCAGCUCGCUUUGAGGCCGUGCCGAGGGACUCCACAGCUUCGCCUCCUCUACCGACCUCUUAGGUUUUUUGGCGCUUGAUGCCAAAGGGGGAGAGAGUGCGAGUAUGACAGUAGAGUGCGAGUAUGAGAGUUAGGAGUUAGGGGGAGCUAGGAGCUAGAGAGGGAGCUUUUAUUCUUUUGAGAUACUUUUAUGUGUGCUUCUUUACCAUGCAUCACGUUUAAUUUUAUGCAUUGCACUUUUGUGAGAUACUAUGGUUGUGAGACAUGACUUGUGCUUAUUGUGCUAUAUUAAAUGUCAUGUGUUUUUGGCUCAUAUCCCUUUGCUUCCGCGUUUUACUCCGAUGUACUUAUGAGCCUUGUGUUUAUAUCCUGUCGUAUACCACUCACAUUUUUGGAUACAGGAUAUUGGACUUGGUUGAUAUAAGCAUGACUAAUCCCUUUGCUCUUAUUGUAACAUGCUUAUUGAAAUCAAGUCAUUUUGAAAACCUCAACUCUUUUCAUACUAGAGGUUGUCAUCAAUCACCAAAAAGGGGGAGAUUGAAAGAGCAUCUAGGCCCCUAGUGAUUUCGGUGAUUAAUGACAUUGUUGAUUACUAUGACUAACGUGUGUUUUGCAGAGGCAAAGUCAUAGGUAAGGUCAUGGUAAAUAGGUACUCAAUGGACAGGGAUGUACAUGCCUACUUAAUAGUGGAAAUCGUUUCGGCUUUCAAAGGAUGGAUGGACAUCGUCAAGACUAGACUAGGUCUAAGUGCCAUUUGGUGAAGAAGGGCACUUAGAAUAGUUUAGGACUUUGUUUUCCUUUGACCGUACUAUUAAGAGGGGCUUUGAUCUAGUAGCUUGACUUAGGCAAUGCUUUAGGUUUAGGUGUGGUGCACACUUCGUAAACCUAGCACUAGGCAGCUCAGAGAUAGUCCUUAGAUCGAGAGGAACAAACUUUGUUUUGGAGCGAUCGCGUUUCGACGAAGUUUGGGUGCCCAAAGGCGCACCGGACGCUGCAUCGGACGCUCUGUGAGUGCGUCCGGUGAGGUCCUUAGCCGUUGGAAUAGUGUCGUGCUUAGGGUUAGGCACCGGACGCUAGCACCGGACGCACCGGGUGGCGUCCGGUCCCAUACCCAGUGAGGUUGCAAGUUUUCCCCGAGCACCGGACGCUAGCACCGGACGCACCGGGUAGCGUCCGGUCCCAUGCGCAGGGAGCUUGUAAGUUUCCCCAGAGCACCGGACGGUGCACCGGACGCUGAGGUUAGCGUCCGGUGACCUGUCAGAAGGAAGUACAAUUAGCCGUUAUGGAGCACCGGACGCUCGGUGUAGUGCGUCCGGUGCAACAUAAUGUGCGUCCGAUGACCCCGUUUUCAGUGGAAAACGGUUGGCCGACCUUUGGACUUUGUGGAUAGUAUUUAUACUCCUCCACCUCGUCCAUGAGAGCUCUCUUGCCCAUUUGAACAUCAGAGAAACUUGUUGUGGAGGAAGAGAGUAGCAAGAGCCUAAAGAGGAUUGAGAUUUGAGUGAUUUCUUGAGAGAAUCCUUCUCUAGUGAGUUCCAAGAGUCAAGUGUGCAUCCAUCACUCUCUAGAGCCUUGUUUGGGUCAAGUGAGAGUUCUUUGCUUGUUACUCUUGGUGAUCGCCAUCACCUAGACGGUUCGGUGGUGAUUGGAGGCAUGAAGACCGCCCGGAGUUCUUGUGGUUGGCUCGUGUCAAGCUUGUGAGCGGUUUUGGGCGAUUCACCGCGACAGAGUGUCAAAGAAUCAGCCCGUAGAGAGCACUUGGUCCUUGCGCGGACCAAUGGGAAGCAAGACCCUUGCGCGGGUGCUCCAACGAGGACUAGUGGAGAGUGGCGACUCUCCGAUACCUCGGCAAAACAUCGCCGAGCACUUUCUUCCACUACUCCUUUACUUUCUAGCAUUUACUUUGUGUUUUUACAUUCUUAGAAUUGCCAUGCUAGAAUAGGAUUGGAACUAGGUUGCAAAACUUUUUAUCCGGUAGCUCUCUAAGUCACACUAGGCACAAGGGGUUGAAUUGGAGCUUAUAGGUUGCUUAAAUUUUUAGAGAAGCCCAAUUCACCCCGCUCUUGGGCAUCUUGAUCCUUUCAGCCUCCACCUUGGUGACUCAAACUAUUGACACUAGAUUUUUAUGGGCAGAGACUGCUUGUGGGGUCGCUCCAUUGAACGAAAGAUGGCUGAUUUGUUGGAUUGGCUAGGCGAAGGUCAAAUAGCGAUGGUCGAUCGGGACGAGUCGAACUUCGAUAAGCAAAGGAAGAGAAUGUGUCGGGCUUCAUCAAGAAAGCAAAGAUUAGAGUCCAAGUUACCUUUUCAGUAGUCGUGCUUUGUUAAGACUUUUGUUUCUGGAUUAUAAAUACCGAAGACCAGAUUAUUGUAAAGGAGAAUUCAAUCAAAUACACAACCUUUUUGGCUUCGGCAACAAACUUUACGAGUAGGAGUAAAAGUAGAUCUCGACAAGAUCUUCAACAAAUCAAGCUGCAUCAGUUGAUUUUGACCUUUGGUUUGCUUGUAAGUAUUGUUACGGUUCAUAUCUAGUUAUCACGACUACAACAUUUGAUCUCGUGUUAAGCUUGAUUUGACCUAUUUAUCACUUUAGAUCUUAUUUGUAAGGCUGCAUUGUUGCAAUCUCUUACAAGUAAUUGAUUUAAGCUAGUUAUCGGCUCUAUUAAAUUGACAAUUUAGUAGAUUCAUUAAGUUAUCAAUAUUAUUCAUACUUAAUGAUUUAUUUAUUACAACAAUAUUUUGCCCAAUCGAGAUCUGAUAGAUUGGAUUAAACUUUAACUUUGUUAAAUUCUAAGUUGUCUUAAAGAAUUUUAAUAAAAUAUUAAUUAUUAUCAAAUAGUCGAUCAAGCCUAUAUCAGCUAAUCUGUCGAUCAGGAUUGUUACAUGUUGUGCGUUCGUGAUAUUUGUUUUAUCAUAAUUAGUUUGGAACUACAACAAGACCUAGCUUAAUAUUACUUGUUAUCGGCUGUAUUUUUGGAACCCCACUGUCAAGUGUAUUAAGUUAAGUUUAACUAGAUCCAAAUCUAAUUAUGACAAAAUAAAUAGAUCUUGUUUAUGUUUCAUGAACCCUGUAUCGACUAAAUAGCCAAUCCAGUCGUACCUCAACGAGUAGUAUGCAUGUAUAAAUCUAAUUCGGAUAUUGAGUAAACUAUUAAGAUGUAUCGAGUUUAUUGAAACUCGCUGGGCUUUAGACCAGCUAAAUAUAGAUUUAAUACACUUAUAGAAAAUAACUUAUUAAGACCGCAGAGCUUCAGACCAGUGUUGUUGAUAUUUCUAAUACGAUUACAAAUAAGAAAUUCAAACCUUAUCCUAGUAAAGGCAUUAGAAAUGUUCACGACAUCUUCAAGCAUUGCUUAAGUUAGGUUGUCAUCCCAACACAACAUCAAAAGAUGUGGUUGUACUUAUGAUCAUGGCACUAUAGAAAAUAAAUGAAGGAUAUCUGCAAGUGCAUAGAUAAAAUACACCCAUUGUAGUAUUUCAUCCAGGAAAGUUCAAGGUAUUGUUAUUUAUAAUUUUACCAAUGGGAAAGCACUUGGAGGUAUGAAAGUUGUAUCUUACACUUAUGAUAAGAGUUCCACUAGAUCAAUACUUAAAACAGGGAACAAUCAUAUCAUAAACAAGGAUAAUUAAUAACAAGUCAACAUAUCUCAAAAGGAUUCCACCGAGCAUUUCCUACUUGGGCGUGAUUCUAGAAAGAACUAGAAAAUAUAGACUAACUCCUAGGGUUAUUCUAACUAUAGGUCAUUGAGCUACCUUAAUUAGUGCAAUUAUAUUUAGUAAUCAUAGUCAUGACUUCACUUGUAUCCAUACACAAGAGACAUUGCUAAGGUAGAUCAGGAACAAAGCAAGACAUCACACCGCAACUUCACCUUACUAGUCCUAUAUUUGGGGAGUGGACUACGUAGGACUCAACGAAGCUGUCACCUUCACGAUCUAUCACAUGACCCGGAACAUAGGGUGCAUUCACAGAUAGGCAUUGUCUAAGCACCAUGCUUAUACAACUUCUACCAACCAUCCCUGAAUUCAAAGGGUAAGCACUAUACGAACAAGGACAUAAACACAAAUGUCACACCCAAAUUUCAAGAACGAAAUAGAGUGUAUAAAAUACUCAUGUGCGCCCUAGAAACAGUCAUACACAUAAGUAGACAAAUCUCAAAUAGUACCAUCACAAUGUUUAUUACAUAAUGGAAUAAUAAUCAACACAGUUCUUAAACGAUAAAGAUAGUUCUACUAAAGAAGCUCUCAAUGGAAGCAUCACACAGGGACAACUGUCGACUGGUUAACUCCAAACCUAGUACUCAUAACGGUAAUCCUCAUUCCAGUCAUCUUCAUUUGUAUAUCCUGAGGUGUUGUGAAAUAGCAAGAGUGAGCACAUAUCAUACUCACCAAGUAUAACUAGGGGUUCCUAAGGCUCAAUUAGCUGACACUGGUUAGACUACAUUUAACUUUUAUAUGUAUAUAACAUGUUCAUCAUUGGAUAGCAGAUAUCAAGGUAGCAUAAUUAAUCCCAUAACCACAUGAUCAAUGUAAGCAUAAUUAAUACUAGACAUAAACGAUAAGUAAAUGCUCAUAAUAACAUAACAAGCGUCAUCAUCUUUAAUGUAGAUGUCCCCAAGACCGCUAGUAUCCGUGAGCACGGCUAGUAUACUAGUUUUAAACACUGUGCAGAUGAAGCGCCUCUGGUAAACCAGGAACUCAAAUGUGAUACAAUACUAGUCCCAGGAGGCUAGUAACACAUUUAUUACAUCAGAUAAGUUUCAGCGCAGUAGUCUUGGAAAGCGUGGACAAGGAAGACACGCGAUAAUAAUAAGACACCAAAAUACAACAUAGGUCCAAAGGACCCAGAAACAAACGAUUUCGCCAUCGAACAUCUGACGAGUCCCAAUGCCACAGGCUUAGUUGGGUGCAGACACGACCUUACUCGAAUGCCACUUCGGGAUCGAAGUCCGGAUCUUCCUCUGUUUAAUAAAGCAAGGGUGAGUACAAAGUACUCAGCAAAUCCAACCUUACCCUACGGAAGGGGAUAACAAUAUAUAUGCAUAUGGAUAAAUCAAGGAUGAGGCUUAGUUUUAUUUGCAUAAAGCUAUCUUUUUACACAUGCAAGGUUUCAUUUCACAAAUACUGUUGUAAAAGACCUCUUUUUCCACAUAUGAUAGUAUUUCUGAAAAUAGGGGUUUGAUCACAAUUUUAAGUGUUGUUGAACCCUUGUUCCCACAACACAAUGGCAGUCAACCAUUUAUUUCCAAAAUCACACUCACUCUCAUGUUUUCACUCAUCCCAACACAUCUAGUUGUUGAAACGAAACCAUAACCCGUCCGAGACCGCGGACACGGCUAUCCAGAUAGAUUUACACUCUGCAGAUGUUGUACACUUUUCCCACAAGUAGGAUACCAUAACUUACACCGUCGUGCAAGCACAGAUCCAUCAAAGUCAUUACCCUCCAUAGCUAAGUAAUGGCGCUCACCACGGGAACACUAAGGCCACAUCUCAUGAUACCAUAAUAAUUCACAAAGCUCUUUUCAUAUAUUUCCACAAUUUCAGAUACAUCACUUAAUGUCUCGUUGCACACCUGCCUCCAGAUGAUUGCCAUACUAACUAGAGGGAUUUAGACUAAGCCUUUCCCAUGCAAGGCGAGUGGUUGUACGAUAAAUGAGUUAGGCAAGAUGAAUCAUCAACUCAGUCCUUAAUCGAGACAAGACGGAUAUCUUCACGCUUAACCCCGCAAGGUAUAAGCCACAACACCAGGGAAUCCCCAAAAGAGAUCCCAUCCGCCCCAUCUCCAUAGUAAUCACAUCUAUAACUUGUUCAUUAACCCUUUCAUAAUACCCACAAUUUAUUCUCACCACUCACACCUUUUACUUUUAAAAUCAUUAUAUUUGAAAAAUAUAGCGAUGAGUAUCCAGGAUGAGUAACAAGUCCUAAGCAUACUAAAUAAUAAUAUUUCUGUCAUAGCAUAUUAUUUGUUCCUAGGUUUGAACAAGACAAUUACCGGGUAAUAUCAAUUCAAGGAUGGCUAUUCAACAGGUUUUAACUAAGCAACGAAAAUACUUCGUACAUAUAUUGUACAUGCAAUAUUUAAAACGGCUUCUACGGGUUGUGUUUAAAAAUAGGAUCAAUAUGCAUCAAAGGGAAUCAGUUGGACUUGCCUCCGUCGGCGUCCUCGGCAAACUCCUGCUGACAGUCCGGGUCCUCGGCGUCAAACUCGCGGUACUCGUCUCCAACGUUCUCGUUUUCCGGCUCGUUCACUCCGUCAACUAAAAUACGCGACGAACGACACAGACAAUAGGCACAGAUAAAUAAUCAUAUAAAUUCAAAUGAGCUCCAAAAAUUAUGAAAUUAUUAUGGGAGGUAGAUCAUGAUUUUAGAUGAAUUUAGGAAAAAGAAUUAUUAAAAUCAGAGUUAGCAUGUAGCAUUUGUGAAAUGGCCGGAAUUUAAUCAUGCGAAAAAGGCUAACGAUGAUUAAGGAAUGGAUGCUUCACGUGGGCAUUUGUUUGGCUGGUAGUGCAUGUUGCAUGCAUGCAUGUACUAUUUGGAGUUAAUGCUUGGCCCACACAUGCAUGGUUAGAGAGAAAUUAGCAGGGGUCAUUAGAACUCUUCUGUAUGUCAUGGUUCUAUUCGUGGAGUUCUUGGCAGUGAACCGGUACAGACAAAUACAUGGAAAAAUACAGAAAAAAUACUACAGAAAGACAGAGAAGAGCAAGGAGAUGCUCAUGAGCUGCUCACCUCGUCUUGCGACGACAGUCGAGCUCGGCUUGUGCGUAUGGCCGUAUACGGUAUACGCGAAGUGAGAGCGAGUGAGCAAGUGAGUGAACGUGUUUCUCGGGUGGUGAGAGUGAGCACCCGAGAGUGCCUUUUUAUAGGCCAGAGUGCUCAGCUCGUGGCCAUUAGAAUUGCUACUGUAGUGCAUGGCUACACAGGAAGACAGGACGGUGGACGGUGCCUAAUUUUCAUGCAAAGGAUGAUGUCUCAUUUGCAUGCACGUUGCAUGCAAAUGGACGGUGCCUAAUCAUCGUGUUCUUGCAUGCAGGUGCAUGCAAAUGGUCGGUGGCAUGUCCUGCAUGCAUGCAUGAGAUAUAUAUUCGUGUAGGUGCACUGCUAUGUUUUCUCGCAUGUAAGCUUGCUGGUACUUGCUAUUAUUUGUGCGCGAAAAAUAUAAAUGAUGCCUAGUUGUACGUUGCGACUUGCUAUCCUUUUGAACAGCAAAAGAGGCUCGGGAAAAGACAAGAGGUGGGGACCGCAUGCCGCGGUGCGCGCGCGAGCGAGUGCGCUCGGCGAGGGGGCCGGGCGUGAGUGCGCUGCGGCGCUGAUGGUGGUGGGGUCGGCGCACGCGCCGUUGCCGGGUAUCGGGCAGAGCGAGCGAGCAAGAGAAAUAAGUAGCGGACAUAUGAUGCUCAUGCCAUGCGGUGCAUGUUAUAUUUAAAGAUGGAUAAUUAGAAUGGAUGGAAAAAGAAUUAGAUGGAGAUACUAUAGAGCUCAAAUGAUUUAUAGUUUUUGAAAUAUAUUUUGAAAAUAAUUUUUUAAUGCGAGUGGUUUUUGAAUGUGAAUUUUUGGGAUGUUACAGACCUACCCCACUUAAAAGGAAUCUCGUCCUCGAGAUUCGGCUGGGUUCUAAACAGGUGAGGAAACUCUUUUCUCAGGGCAUCUUCUCUUUCCCAUGUUGCUUCCGCUUCAGAGUGUCUACUCCAUUGAACACGACAAAUUCGGACUGUUGUCGUUCGAGUUUGCUUGGUGACUGUAUCUAAGAUUUUUAUUGGCACUUCUUGAUAUCUUAGGUCAUCUUGUAAAUCAACUGUAUCUGGCGAUAUUUGUUCCUCUGGUACUCUGAGACAUUUCUUCAAUUGGGAGACAUGAAACACAUUGUGUAUAUCUGACAUUUCUUCAGGUAGCCGAAUACGAUAGGCUACAGCACCAAUCCUCUAUAAUACUUGAUAUGGUCCAAUAUACCGAGGUGCUAGCUUGCCUCAAACUUGGAACCUUCGAGUUCCUCGAAUAGGAGAGACUUUGACAUACACAAAAUCUCCAACUGCAAAACUUAACUCUCUCCUUCUUUUAUCAGAAUAGCUCUUUUGACGUGAUUGUGCCUCUUUCAAUUUUUCUCUGAUUUUAGCUACACGAUCUUCUGCUUCUUUUAUAAGGGCUGGUUCAAGCAAAGUUCGUUCUCCAACUUCUGACCACAUCAAUGGGGUUCGACAUUUUCUUCCAUAUAGGGCCUCAAAAGGUGACAUGCCCAAACUAGCUUGGUAACUGUUAUUAUAGGAGAACUCUGCAUAAGUUAGGCUUUUCUCCCAAUCUUUACCAUAUGUGAGCACACAUGCUCUUAGCAUAUCUUCCAUAAUCUGAUUUGUUCUUUCAGUCUGACCAUCUGUUUGAGGAUGAUAAGCUGAGCUAAAAUCUAGCUUGGUUCCCAUAGCUUCAUGCAAACUUUUCCAGAACUUAGAGGUAAAUUGGGUACCUCGGUCAGAUACAAUCCUACUUGGCACACCAUGCAAUUUGACUAUGUUAUCCACAUAUAGCUGGGCUAACUUGUCUCCACUAUAUUUGGUGCGUACAGGUAUGAAGUGAGCAACCUUUGUAAGGCGGUCCACUAUUACCCAUAUUGAAUCAUUUCCUUUCAGAGUUUUGGGUAAUCCAUUCACAAAAUCCAUGCCUAUCUCAUCCCAUUUCCAAACAGGAAUAGGCAAUGGCUGGAGCAAGCCUGCUGGUUUCUGAUGCUCUGCUUUAACCCUUUGGCAUACAUCACAUUGUGCAACAAAUCGUGCCACAUCAGCUUUCAUGCCAUUCCACCAAUAUCUUUCUUUUAGGUCCAUGUACAUCUUGGUGGCACCAGGGUGGAUAGAAUAAGCUGAGUUAUGGGCUUCAUCAAGGAUUAAUUCUUGAAACUUUCUCUCCUUGGGCACACAAAUUCUGUUUUUAUACCACAAUACUCCUUUGUUAUCCACUCUAAAGUAUGGAGCUUUAUUUUCUCCAGUUUGCUCACGAAUCUUCAUCAGAUCCUUAUCCUUAUGUUGUGUCUGCUUGAUUUCUUCCACAAGAGUUGGCUGCACCAUCAGACUGCCAUUUUGAGGUUGACGUACUAUAUGCAUGUUCAACUGUGUUAUCUCUUCUUGUAGGUGAGUGUUCUUAGGCACCAACUGCUGACCAUAUGACCUUCUGCUUAGGGCAUCUGCUACCACGUUGGCCUUUCCUGGGUGGUAAUGAAUCUCAAGGUUGUAGUCCUUGAUUAAUUCCAACCAUCUUCUUUGCCUUAGGUUCAAGUCUGACUGUGUGAAGAUGUACUUCAAACUCUUGUGAUCAGUGUAGAUUUCACACUUGUUUCCAAUGAGGUAGUGUCUCCAAAUCUUGAGAGCAUGCACUAUAGCUGCUAACUCCAAAUCAUGGGUAGGGUAAUUUUGCUCAUGAGGUCUAAGCUGACGGGAUGCAUAAGCAACCACUUUUCCUCCUUGCAUGAGAACACAUCCUAAACCUUGUCUUGAGGCAUCACAGUAUAUGAUGAAAUCUUGGUGAAUGUCUGGCAAAGUUAACACUGGUGCUGUUGUCAGUUUCUUCUUCAACUCUUGGAAACUCUUCUCACAUGAUUCUGUCCAAGUGAAUUUCUUGUCCUUCCUAAGAAGCUCUGUCAUGGGUCUGGCUAUCUUGGAAAAUCCUUCUAUAAACCUUCGAUAAUAUCCAGCUAAUCCAAGAAAACUUCUAACCUCACUCACAUUGGUGGGUUCAUGCCAAUGGGAGACAGCUUCUACUUUCUCAGGGUCAACUGCAACUCCUUCAGCUGUCAAGAUAUGGCCUAGAAAUGCAACCUUCUCAAGCCAAAAUUCACACUUGCUGAAUUUAGCAUACAACUUGUGUCUUCUUAGCUUUUCCAACACUACUCUCAAGUGUUGCCCAUGUUCCUCAGCACUCUUAGAGUUGAUAAGUAUGUCAUCAAUGAAGACUACAACAAACUUAUCUAACUCUUCCAUGAAUACCUUAUUCAUGAGGUUCAUGAAAUAGGCAGGGGCAUUGGUUAAUCCAAAGGACAUCACUGUAAACUCAUAUUGUCCAUAUCUGGUUACAAAUGCUGUCUUGGGAACAUCACUAUUCUUGAUCUUGAGCUGGUGAUAACCUGAUCUCAAAUCAAUCUUAGAGAAAUACUUGGCUCCUUUAAGCUGAUCAAAAAGGUCAUCUAUCCUUGGCAGGGGAUACUUAUUCUUGAUGGUGACUUCAUUUAGGGACCUAUAAUCCACACACAUCCUCAUACUUCCAUCUUUCUUCUUCACAAACAAGACUGGUGCUCCCCAUGGUGAAGAACUAGGUCUAAUAUAACCUUUCUGCUGCAAUUCUCUUAGCUGCUCUUUCAGUUCAGCUAACUCUGCCGGAGCCAUUCUGUAAGGUCUCUUGGCUAUGGGGGCAGUCCCAGGGAUAAGAUCAAUGAUGAACUCUAUAUCCCUAUCUGGUGGCAUUCCAGGUAGUUCCUCAGGGAAUACAUCAGGGUAUUCUUGCACUAUUGGUACUUCCUCUAUGGUCCUUGCAUCCAAGUUGAAGACCAUUGGAUUAACUUUAGACCCUCGGGUUUGGCAUUUCACUUUAAUCCCUUCAUGGUUAACUAAUGAUACUUCCUUGGUUGCACAACUAAUAAUUCCAUUGUGUCUGGUUAACCAAUCCAUUCCAAGGAUAACAUCUAUUCCUUUGGACUUGAGCACUACUAAGUCUCCUAAGAAAACUACCCCACUUAGAAUGAUCCUUACAUUUGAACAACCAAGAUGACAUUUGAUGUCAGACCCAGGUGUUCGAGUUAUUAGGGGUAACUUUAGUAGUAAUGUGGGUAUUUGAUGCUUCUCAACAAAACUUGAUGAUAUGAAUGAAUGUGAUGCUCCAGAAUCAAAUAAUACUGUUGCAAGUACUGAAUUGACUAAGAACUCACCAAGUACCACUCCUGAAGCAGUCUGAGCAUCCUGAGCAUGAAUAUGGUUGACACGGGCUCUACCAUAGGAUUGUUGAGGUUGCUUCAUCAUCUGGCUAUUAUUGUUGGUGUUGCUAUUGUUGCGAGGGAAACCACGAUUGACUCCAGACACUGCAGGUCUUGGUCCAUUAACAGUGUGGGACUGAGUGGACACUGCUGGUGGGUUGUUCUUGUAGGGACAGUUGGCAAUGUAGUGUCCAGUCUCAUGGCAAUUAAAGCAAGUCCUAACAUUGCUUGUGACUUGACCAGUGCUGUUCUGUUGAGUCUUGCCAUAAGUUUGAUUCUGAUAGGUUGUCUUGGGCUGAUAUGAUGACUGCAUUUGGUUAUUGGAGACACUAGGAGGAGAGCGAAACUGCAUUGGGGCUUGAGUCCGCUGGCUUGGUUGGCUAAAGGUUUUCAGCCUCUGGGAUCUAGCACCAUCUUGAACCUUGCGCUCUAGAAACUUGCGCUUGUUUUCUUUCCUUUCUUCAGUCUUGGCCACAUCAGUCAGAAUGGUCCUAUUCAUCAAUGUGUUGAAAUCUGGAUAGAUCUGUGGGGUCAUGAGGGUUCUGAGCUCACAGGUCAAUCCUUCUAUGAACUUUGUCUGUUUCUUGGCAUCAGUGUUGACCAAUUCUGGGGCAUAGCGAGACAAUUCAGUGAAUUGGAAGAUGUACUCACUCAGAGUUUUAUUUCCUUGCUUCAAGUUGCGAAAUUCAUCAGCUUUCAGCUUCAUGAUCCCAUCUGGAAUGUGGUACCGGCGGAAUUCAUCCACAAAUUCUUCCCAUGUGAUAGUGUUUGCAUUGUCCACAGCUCCACUAUAGGCUUCCCACCAAGAAAGGGCAAUUCCUGUCAGCUGAUGAGAUGCUAGCAGAACUCUAUCCCUUCCAUCGCAGUGGAUUGUGUCCAACUUCCUUUCAAUCACCUUAAGCCAAUCAUCUGCUUCCAUGGGGUUGUCAGAUCCAGUAAAGGUGGGUGGCUUAAGCCUCAUGAACUCAGUCAUCUUGUCUUGGACUCCGACUCCAUGGUUGUUCCUAGGGCGGUUCAUGCCUUGAGCCAAGGUCUCCAGAAGACGAGUCUGAGUUGCCAUGACUUGUGCUAAGUCAAUUACUGGAGGAGGGGGCAAGUCAUCUCCUUCAUUAUGGUUCCUAGUCUGACUCACUUCAUCUUCAUGAAUACCAUCCACAUUUGCAUUGGCUUGACUUCCAUUUGGAUUUUGGCUUUGUCUACUAGCUGCACGACCACUUGGUUGAGAGCGGAUAGCUGGUUUGGGAGGCAUCUGUUGGUUAAGAUGAGAAAGCAUUAGAUAAGGGUUAGAUCUAUUGAGUGAUGUUGUUUUUUUUUGUUAAGGCGUUAUAUUUUAAAAAGGUGCAAGUCUUAAGACUUGCUAUCCCGUAAGGGAACAACAUAGAGCACUCAAUUAUUUAGCACAACCAACAAGCACAAAUAUAUAUUUUGAAUAAGAGGGCGGUUUACAACAUAGUAAUGGAGGAAAUAAGCGUACUACAAUACGGUUCAUCUACUUUGGGGGUUGAACAAAAGUGAAGUAAACUUCACUUCCCCAAGACAUAAGGAGGAACUAGGUGUUACUAUUCUUCAACUUCUUCGGACAGAACAGCUUCAUUCCCUUGGUGUUGAGGAGGAUCAUGCUUCCGGCAUUUGUGGUUCUUCUUUUGGACUAAGAGGUGGGUCACCGUCUUCCUUUGGUGGUGGCUGGGUGAGGAGGGGAAAUCCUUCUUCCUUACUGGGCUCCAACUCUAAAGCUUCAUGAGAGGCUUCUGUGGGUGGGGGAGCUGAUGGCCCUUCUAUGUCCAUCUUGCUUUUGGUUUUUAGGGACAUGAUUGGGAUACCUUUUAGGACUAUGGGCUCUUGGUCUUCCUCUGCUAACAUCCUUCUUUUGAUCCUGGUGAUAAGGUAGGCAUCCUUCAACUCCUGAGUAUGGCGGUCUUCAGCUGCCUUCAAGACUUCGCAAUGGCAGUUUCAUGACUCUCGGCUGCAGCUGCUUGGGCCUGAGCUUGCGCAAGCUGCACAUGGAGCUUUCUAACUAUGAUCUCAGCUUCCUCCGCACGAUGGAUGCACUUCCUUGACUCUGAGGCCUGCUCAUCAUAUUGCUUAUCUAGAGCAAGAAGGUAUGUGGUCAUGAUACCACAGUUGGGUCAUCUUCAAGUGAGUAGCGUCCUUGCAAGAGCUCCAUGCGGGUCCUCCAAACUGGUCGGUCUUUUUCGUCGGGUGGAAAUAACCUCAUGGGUGUACGAGUGAUGGGUUUCUCGUAGAUCUGGCAUAGGUACCUCAAGGCUUUGCGGGCGACGGCUUGAUAUGUAUCUGCAAACCGAAAUCCGGUCGCAGUCAUGCUCCAAGCUUUAGCUAUAUUAGGGAAGUCCUCACUUUUCCCAAUAUAGACGGUAACUUCACACCGCUCAGUCUCAUGCUCUUCAUAUUCUCUGCCUUCAUAUUCUGGGCGAUCCUUGAUUCCAAGUUCUGCAUGGUAGCAUACAAGAGCUUGGGAAAGCCUUCUACACUUAGACAGUAACUGCUGGUCCAAACUCCUUCUGCCAUCUAAGAGACAUAGAUGAGAGUAAAUAUUUUUUUCAAAUAGAGGGAAGAGGGUAAGAACUUUUGUAAAAUACGUUUAUUUAGUAAAAUACUGGUCCAGAAAAGCCUAAGGUCGCGUCCUACAGCCAACUACGGCUCUGAUACCACCUGAAGCGCCCCUGGUAAACCAGGAACUCAAAUGUGAUACAAUACUAGUCCCAGGAGGCUAGUAACACAUUUAUUACAUCAGAUAAGUUUCAGCGCAGUAGUCUUGGAAAGCGUGGACAAGGAAGACACGCGAUAAUAAUAAGACACCAAAAUACAACAUAGGUCCAAAGGACCCAGAAACAAACGAUAUCGCCAUCGAACAUCUGACGAGUCCCAAUGCCACAGGCUUAGUUGGGUGCAGACACGACCUUACUCGAAUGCCACUUCGGGAUCGAAGUCCGGAUCUUCCUCUGUUUAAUAAAGCAAGGGUGAGUACAAAGUACUCAGCAAAUCCAACCUUACCCUACGGAAGGGGAUAACAAUAUAUAUGCAUAUGGAUAAAUCAAGGAUGAGGCUUAGUUUUAUUUGCAUAAAGCCAUCUUUUUACACAUGCAAGGUUUCAUUUCACAAAUACUGUUGUAAAAGACCUCUUUUUCCACAUAUGAUAGUAUUUCUGAAAAUAGGGGUUUGAUCACAAUUUUAAGUGUUGUUGAACCCUUGUUCCCACAACACAAUGGCAGUCAACCAUUUAUUUCCAAAAUCACACUCACUCUCAUGUUUUCACUCAUCCCAACACAUCCAGUUGUUGAAACCAAACCAUAACCCGUCCGAGACCGCGGACACGGCUAUCCAGAUAGAUUUACACUCUGCAGAGGUUGUACACUAUUCCCACAAGUAGGAUACCAUAACUUACACCGUCGUGCAAGCACAGAUCCAUCAAAGUCAUUACCCUCCAUAGCUAAGUAAUGGCGCUCACCACGGGAACACUAAGGCCACAUCUCAUGAUACCAUAAUAAUUCACAAAGCUCUUUUCAUAUAUUUCCACAAUUUCACAUACAUCACUUAAUGUCCCGUUGCACACCUGCCUCCAGAUGAUUGCCAUACUAACUAGAGGGAUUUAGACUAAGCCUUUCCCAUGCAAGGCGAGUGGUUGUACGAUAAAUGAGUUAGGCAAGAUGAAUCAUCAACUCAGUCCUUAAUCGAGACAAGACGGAUAUCUUCACGCUUAACCCCGCAAGGUAUAAGCCACAACACCAGGGAAUCCCCAAAAGAGAUCCCAUCCGCCCCAUCUCCAUAGUAAUCACAUCUAUAACUUGUUCAUUAACCCUUUCAUAAUACCCACAAUUUAUUCUCACCACUCAUACCUUUUACUUUUAAAAUCAUUAUAUUUGAAAAAUAUAGCGAUGAGUAUCCAGGAUGAGUAACAAGUCCUAAGCAUACUAAAUAAUAAUAUUUCUGUCAUAGCAUAUUAUUUGUUCCUAGGUUUGAACAAGACAAUUACCGGGUAAUAUCAAUUCAAGGAUGGCUAUUCAACAGGUUUUAACUAAGCAACGAAAAUACUUCGUACAUAUAUUGUACAUGCAAUAUUUAAAACGGCUUCUACGGGUUGUGUUUAAAAAUAGGAUCAAUAUGCAUCAAAGGGAAUCAGUUGGACUUGCCUCCGUCGGCGUCCUCGGCAAACUCCUGCUGACAGUCCGGGUCCUCGGCGUCAAACUCGCGGUACUCGUCUCCAACGUUCUCGUUUUCCGGCUCGUUCACUCCGUCAACUAAAAUACGCGACGAACGACACAGACAAUAGACACAGAUAAAUAAUCAUAUAAAUUCAAAUGAGCUCUGAAAAUUAUGAAAUUAGAUCAUGAUUUUAGAUGAAUUUAGGAAAAAGAAUUAUUAAAAUCAGAGUUAGCAUGUGGCAUUGUGAAAUGGCCGGAAUUUAAUCAUGCGAAAAAGGCUAACGAUAAUUAAGGAAUUGAUGCUUCACGUGGGCAUUUGUUUGGCUGGUAGUGCAUGUUGCAUGCAUGCAUGUACUAUUUGGAGUUAAUGCUUGGCCCACACAUGCAUGGUUAGAGAGAAAUUAGCAGGGGUCAUUAGAACUCUUCUGUAUGUCAUGGUUCUAUUCGUGGAGUUCUUGGCAGUGAACCGAUACAGACAAAUACAUGGAAAAAUAUAGAAAAAAUACUACAGAAAGACAGAGAAGAGCAAGGAGAUGCUCAUGAGCUGCUCACCUCGUCUUGCGACGACAGUCGAGCUCGGCUUGUGCGUAUGGCCGUAUACGGUAUACGCGAAGUGAGAGCGAGUGAGCAAGUGAGUGAACGUGUUUCUCGGGUGGUGAGAGUGAGCACCCGAGAGUGCCUUUUUAUAGGCCAGAGUGCUCAGCUCGUGGCCAUUAGAAUUGCUACUGUAGUGCAUGGCUACACAGGAAGACAGGACGGUGGACGGUGCCUAAUUUUCAUGCAAAGGACGAUGUCUCAUUUGCAUGCACGUUGCAUGCAAAUGGACGGUGCCUAAUCACCGUGUCCUUGCAUGCAGGUGCAUGCAAAUGGUCGGUGGCAUGUCCUGCAUGCAUGCAUGAGAUAUAUAUUCGUGUAGGUGCACUGUUAUGUUUUCUCGCAUAUAAGCUUGCUGGUACUUGCUAUUAUUUGUGCGCGAAAAAUAUAAAUGAUGCCUAGUUGUACGUUGCGACUUGCUAUCUUUUUGUACAGCAAAAGAGGCGCGGGAAAAGACAAGAGGUGGGGCCCGCAUGUCGCGGUGCGCACGCGAGCGAGUGCGCUCGGCGAGGGGGCCGGGCGUGAGUGCGCUGCGGCGCUGAUGGUGGUGGGGUCGGCGCACGCGCCGUUGCCGGGUAUCGGGCAGAGCGAGCGAGCAAGAGAAAUAAGUAGCGGACAUAUGAUGCUCAUGCCAUGCGGUGCAUGUUAUAUUUAAAGAUGGAUAAUUAGAAUGGAUGGAAAAAGAAUUAGAUGGAGAUACUAUAGAGCUCAAAUGAUUUAUAGUUUUUGAAAUAUAUUUUGAAAAUAAUUUUUUAAUGCGAGUGGUUUUUGAAUGUGAAUUUUUGGGAUGUUACAGCAGAGGUUGUAGAUCUUUAUCCAUAAGUCAUGAUUUACACUUUUGCCUGAGGUUGCAAGUCUCUUAACCCGUCGGUAGGGAUCACUAUGAAGCCUUUCAAAAGUUUGUCUAACAUGUUAGGGCCGCAAGGUUUCCAAUUGGCACACAUAUGUAGAGCCCCCUUCUAAACGGCACAAUGACACACAACCUAUACACAUAAGGACAGAGGCCACACUAUACCCAAAAUGUCAAGCCCCUCUAGCACCCUUACGGGUAACCUCUAACAAGAUAGAAAAGAUAUUCAUACUGAGUUAAAGCCACAGCCAUAAUAGCCCUCAUGGUUGUACUGUCAAUCCUGGGUGAUCACGUACAGACAAGAUCUCAUAUAGUCAUAAGUCAUCUUUUAACAUUCAUUGCAUAGUCAUUAAUCAUCUUACAAGAUCAUGGAUUAAAAUGAAGCACUAGCAAGAACUACCAAAAUACAUAUCCAAAUAGGUAUCAAGAAAUUCAGGAUAACAAGCAUCUAUGAUUUUGCUAAGGUUGUCAAGGUGGACACAUGCAUAUGAAAUAUGUAUUAAAAGUGUAUAGGUAACAAGGAUAGUCCCAAGUUAUACUUGUCUUGAUCAAAGCUUUCCUACGGUUCCUGCUAGUCGUCAAAAGAUUGGCCUUGUUCACCAAUGUACGGCUCAUCGUCUAUACUCGAUCAUCAAUCAACAACACACAAUCAAUUGGAGACAAUCAUACACAAAGCAAACAAGCUAUAAUUAGAACAGUACACCAAUAGUAGCAAAACAAAUAUAAAAAAUUAUAAAAACAUUCUACAUACCACUGUGAUCACACAUAUGUAAAGAUCACAAAAAUCUGAAUUAAAACGGAGAAGAUAUGGAUUUUCGAAGAUUUCCUAUAUAAGAAUAAUUAAUUAAAUAGUACCACUAAAUUAAAAAGUUACAAAUUGAUGAAAUAGUGAUACUAACAUGUAGAUCUCGAGAAGACGAAUCUAAUGCAAUUCGAAUAGGUCAAAUCGGAGUUUAAAUGAACAUUUUAUAAGUAGAAUAAAAUCAGUGGCAAAUCUAUAAAUAACAGAAAAUGUAUUUUCUUUUAAACCGAUGAAAAUACAUUUUUAAGGUUGAGAAAACAUAUUUGGCGGAAUACGCGAUGGACUGCGGGUUGAAUCCUAGAAAAUUCUAGGGACUCUUUAGCAAAAUAGCCGGCCAAAGGGGUAUCACCCAUCCUAGACCGUUAGAUUAGAAACAAACGGUCGAGAUCGCGCCUAGGGAAGAAACGGCCGGCCGGCCGCCGGAACAGCACCUCCACAGCGGCGCCAUUGGAAAACCCCACCAGAGCUCUUCACUCUGAUGUUUCCGAGUGCAAAAACAUGAAAGAAAAACACCAGGGAGUAGAGAAGCUCACCACAAAUCUAUCUAGGAGCUUUACUCGAACCGAGAGGAAGCAAGGAUGGAUCAUGGUGGCGGCGGCUUGGGCACAAGCUCGGCGAGAUCCAAACCUCCUGAAACAAGGGCUAGGGUGGCUUCUGAGGUGUAGUAGAUGAAAAAGAGGGUGGCGGGGAAGUCUGGGUACUUUAAGGUGCUCAGUUGCAACUAUAACGUGAAAUCCCGGAGGAUUCGGUAUUGCCAUAUCCGGCUCCUGCUUGAUCCCGUGACGGAGAAGAAAGGGGUCGGCUGACGAGUGGGGCCCUGCUGUCGGUGGGAGAAAAGGAGGGGAGAGGGAGCGCACGCUGCUUGGGCUGUCUGGGCUGCUGCUGGCUGGCUGGGCCAAAACACAGGUAAGCUUUCUCCCUUUUUUAUUCCUUUCUUUUUUUCUCUUUUAUUUUCCAAAUCAUUUCAAAAGAGAGUUUGAAUUCAAAUCAAAUCAAACCAAGAGCAUCAGCACAAAAUUAAAUAAUGACCAUCAUGGAUGCACAAACAUGUUUCUAUCCCAAUGAUGAAAUUUAAUUUCAACAAAAUUAAUUUGUUUACUAAAUUACAUGCUCACAAAAACAUUUUAAUAAACCACGUAAUCCAAUUUAAUUGAGAAACAAAUUUGGGGUGUUACAACAAAGCUAAUCCAACUAUACUAAACAUAUAAUCAUAGUAGGCAAUGAACAUUACAAUUAUGAAUAUAUAAUUAUACCAAGUCAUAUCAAGUAUUCGACUCAAACACAAACUAGAAUAAGAACAAGAGGGAAACAUGAACUAGACAAGAGCACGAUGAACUAGACAAACUAGAACAAGAACAAGAUUAAUAGGGUACCGAUAUGAUCGGUACGAGGGUGGCCCGAUCUUCACGACAGUAGAUCAAAAGAACAAGGAUAACUUGCUGCGAACAGCGGAUAACUAGCUUUAUACCUGAUAAAGGUUGGAUGCGACCAAGCGACGGGGAGAGAGAGGCACCGAAACCACGAAGACUUCGACUCGAUCUCCGAACGACCGCAGAACCACAAUCCGAAACUAAUCCACACAAUACGGCGCAGCCGAACGGAAAUCGUAGAACACGAAGUAGGGGAACCCAGAGCAUUCACUUCACAAGUCCAAGAAGAACAAGGAAGAACAAAGGUUGAGUAAGCACUCAGCAGCGCGGCUGCAAUAUCAUGUAGUUUAUCAAAUGAUCAAAGGUUGUUGAUAGCUUAGAGGUAGGGGAUAUUUAUACUAGGAACAACCCUCCUAGAUAGGUAUGAAAACGAAAUAGAGUUUCUGAGAGAAGGCAUUGUGAAAGGACCCCUCGGAAUGGAUUUCCGAACUGGCUUCGCGUGACUAUUGGCCUCCAGAGCAGUUUCCAAUAAACUGACCUUAACUUUUUAUUGGGAAGUCCAAAUGACGAACUGUUUCUUGGGUGUGAAACUAGACUCCAUGAGCUUUCGAGCAAUGUAUGCCAUGCACCACGAAACGUUGUAGAUUGGUACAGUUUUGCACGGCAAGUUGUACCAAUAUUCUAUCACGACAGACUGUUGACCUUCUGAGCAGUCUUUACUAUUCCAAUCAUAACUCUUGAUUGCAACGUGCAAAUGAGAUGAGACUUGAGGCAUUGGAAAGAAGACUCGACAAGCUUUCCAACAAGUCCUCAUGGGCCUUCAUAGCUUUUGUGAGUAAAAGGUUAUGAAGAUUUCUUUGCACUUGUCCGUUCUUGACUUCCACUAGUCCGUUUUUGACUCUCUAGUCCGUUUUGUAGUGUCUUGUGGGACUUGCACUGGUCUGAUAUUCAAGGUCUGAUUCAUCCUUCUCUUCUUCUAUAUACCUGAGUACAAUCAAGGUAGAACACUUAGGUAGUAUAUAAUUCUCAUUAAUGUUAAAAUGAAUCUCAUAAAGUAGCGCGUGGACCUCUUGUUGUAGCUUCUUUGCACGACUACGUGUAACCGGUCCAUCGAUGACUUGGGCUGGUGUCGGUGUAGGUAAAACUUGAGUGGUUCUAGCUUGACUUAGAGCUUGUGACAUCUUGCUUACUGGCAUGGUCAUAUCAUCCUCUCUCUCUUAAAAAAGGAGUCGUCCUCGACUCUAACUCUUCUGAUCCAAAGAGUUGUGCUAGGCCAUCGGUUUGUAAUGUUGUGAUAAUAUUGCAAUCUUCUUGUUUCAUGAUAGCAAGGUGUUUGAAUCUAUAAUCAUAUAAACCAAGUAGUAGCCUUGUAUGUGGAAACCUAAAUGUUUUGGAAUUAAGUUUAGCUUUCACCUUGAGUGGCUGCUUGAAUGUUGAUUGCCUUAGUAUGGUCUCAUCAAAGAUGAACUAGAUGAUCUAAUUGAUGAACUAGAAGAACAAAAGAUGAACUAGAAGAUAAACACAAUGAACUAGAAGACAAAUAACUCAAAUAGAUUAACAAUGUUAUUACAAGAGAGAAGUACAAGGGUUUACCUAGUCUCCUUGUGACUAGAUCUGAAUCCAAGCAUUGCUUGACUCCUCUAAUUCCUAUUCUUAUCUAGCUAUGCCCUAUUUGGUGGAGCUCUAAACUAGACUAUGAGAUAUAACUAUGAUGGAUUGAUUGAUCGAUGCCUCAGGGAUAGUCCAGUGGGAUGAACCGCAGCCCUUGGAUCAAACCAAUAUAGAACAAGGGUCAAGAUACAUCAUAGAGGUUGGUUGGAGGCCGUGACAUGAAGGAGGGGAGACUUUUAGGUGGGCCCAGGCUGGUCAGCCUAGCAUGUGGGGCCAGUCGGCCCCACCUGGUUGCCGCUGGUCUCUUGCUUCGUCCCUGUGUCUUCUGGUGUCUUCUACGUCCUUCUAGCGCCUCUUUUCGAUCAAUUUGCGUAAUGAGUCAUGUUGUGGAUGGAUUAUUUCCUUUCCCAGCUUCUGGAUAAAUCCCUAAAAAAGAUUAUUUCACAAAGUUGUGGAAUCUUGUCGGUUUAGUCCCUGGUCUUAUAAUGGAUGAUGGUUCUAGGGUCUUCUAGAGACUUGCAGGUCAUAUCCAUCGAGGACUUUCUCUCCGAUGCUCCAAAUAUGGCAAAUGAUAUGUCUGUCUUGAUCAUCUCAACAAGCUCUCCACAAUGGUGUACUUAGAUUCUUCACUUGAGAUACUUUUAUAUGAUGAAAUAUUGAAUAUCCUGCAAGGCAAGUGAGAACAAUACAACUCGUGGAACUCAUUAGAAUAAACCCCUAUAACCGUAAUUUAUAAGUCAUUUUAGAUCUCUCCUUUGGUUAGUUGAUGGUUGAAAAUUGGAGUUAAUUACCAUCAACAAACUCUUCCAAGCUUAUCGUUUUCUAGUCCCUUAGCAAAUAAUAGUUCUUGACUAAACAAGAUGGAUCAGGAGUUGCUAUAAUGCUUUCACACCUCAAAAGUACACCAAUGUUCAAAUAAGAAUUCUCUUCUACGAUAGAACAAAUUAUUUUAACUUCCAACUUACUCAAAUUACCUUCAAUCGUGGGGCUUAUAACUUUCACUUAGGUCUUUAGUAAUUGAAAAGCAGAAUGAUUAAGUCAAGCACUAUGUCUCUAGCUCUUUGAUCUACCUUUAUUCUAGUGUUUUGCAAGUUUCCAAAAUAAAACUCAAAGAUUCCUUUGUAUGAUCCUUUCAAGUCUCUCAUUAUGUAGUAUUUGUGGAUUCCUCUCCAAGAUAGAUUAGCAUCAUACCUUCCCUUUUCACUCCCUAUAACUAAGGCUUAUGUGGAGCUGAAUGUAUUUCAAGGAUAUAGCAAACUUAGCUUGCAUAUAUUCCCCAAUCAAACUAGGAUCAUCGGAGGGGAAACCAUACUCUUAGAUCAUUAUGUGCAUGUGUGUGAACCUAUAGAUAUGUGGUGGUGGAACAAUGAUACAAAGGGUGUAACAUAGUGAGGGUGAAAACAAUUGUUAGAGAACAUGAUGGAAACCUUAUCUUUCUUUGGUUGCUCCUUAAGGGGAUACUUCUCUCUUUUAAAAACUUUGAAAACUUUGAAGAAUACUUGGACUAGAUACUCUUUUUUUAUUUCCUUUUUUCUUUUUCUUUUUUUAGAAAUAGCCUUCCAAGCUUCUUUUGAUGAUGAAUGUCAAGAGAUAAUAAGAAGAACUAUUGGAGCAGUUUACAGAUUGGCGAUGAAAACAAUGAUAAGGUUUGAUGAAAAUAUAAAGAAGAAAAUAUUUUUGGUUGUUCAUUCGCAGGGUAGGAAUAGAACAUUUUUGGUGGACUAAAUGAAAAACAUGUUGUUGCGUACUUCCAGGAUAGAAGUAGCAUAUUUGGGUGGAGUGUACGUGAUAUUGAUCUUGGGAGUAUGAUAAACCUCUUGACAAGGGUCUUUCACGGGUUGAUCAAACUCAAUACAAAAUAAGUAGCCUAUGAGCUAGUUUUCCUAGUCUAGCAAACAUAUAUAUGGCUAUGGUAAGAAUUCAACACUCAUCAUACAGAAACUCAUCAUGUGGUAAUUUUAGGUUUUUCAAAAGAUAAAUCUCCAGAACUCUAGUAUCACUAGGAACAAGAUAGUAGCUCAAAACCUUUUCAUAUCAUACUCAUCAAUCACCUAGACUUAGACCAAGCUUUUGCAUCCCACAGGUUUCAAGUUUAGGGUAAAUCAUUAUGUCAAAACAAUAUAAUCCUAAAACUUUGAGAGAAUCUAAGGUUGAACACUAGGCACUUGAAAGGGAUUACGGCAGAGCAACUAUAAAUCAUUUCCAUGUAAACAAUUAUCUAGAGCUCAAUUAUUCUAGGGUAGGUAAAGAAAAACUUGUACCCUCUCUUUUUAUUACCUAAUUAUUUAAUAGCUAAUAGACAUAGUAGACUCUCUUUAUUUUGUUUUCUAAGUUAUUUAUCUUUCAGCUAUAAAGCACACAUAAGGAAAUAGAUACUUAGCUAGAUAUAUGGGAGAUCUUCCUCCUCCAAGCUGGAUGUUGAUGUAGUCAUUUAUCUUGAAUCUUGAUAGCAUAGAUGUUCCCCAUCCCUCUGGGUCUCUAAAAGUGGAUGGUUGAUGAAGUUGUCCUUCCUAGAGCAGAUGCAAACUUCUAGCUAGUCUUUCUUCUUGUUGAAUCCUGUCUAAACCAAAUAAACAACAAAGCUCGUGGAACAGAUUAAGCAUUAGGAGUAAAACCAUUAUGAUCCAUCUAUGUUAACAACUUAUAGAUUUUUCAAAGCAUUCUCAACAAGACCUCAAUAUUUUUGGAUUUUCUAUUUUGUAUGCAAAUGCAAAAAUAUUUUUGCGCCUCCAUAGCAAGUAGCCAAUAUUUACUUGCCUGGGGCUUAAGUUUUUUAGAUGCAAUGCUAUGAUGCAACAAAAUAAAUUUAAUUUUUUGUUUAAUGUAAUGGGUAAAUAUGCUAAAUGCUUAUGAGUGAAUGUAGGAAAAGUAAAUAUGCUAAAGUAAAAAUUAUGGAGGGAAAUAAAUAUGAGGAUAACUACCGAUAUAACCUUUUGGCGAGGGUUCGUAGAUUUAGGUCCGUUGAACCGGACCUUUUGGCUCAAUCAAGUAAUGAGGGGGUAUGUGAGGAGGUAGAGACCUCCCCCCUUAUUUCUCCACUUCCAUAUGUUCUUGAGUAUCUGGUGAGUCAGGAGAUAGCGAUUGCUCUUCUUGUAAUGGAGUGCUUGGUGGUGUUAUCUCUUUCUUUCUCCACACUUUCUUGGUCUUUGGUUUCUCUUCCUGUGGUUUCUCAUCUAGAAACUCCUCUUCUUCUUUAGCCUCUAGGGCAGCUUCUCCUUUAACAACUUCCUUUUUUCUAAUCAGCCCCUUCCUUGUUGAUGGCUUGUUGUUCUUGACAUGGAGAAUGGCGUCUCCUGUUCCUGUUCUUCUUGGGCUUCUCAUAAGUAGUAUAACUAUUAAAGUAAUAGCGUACCUUUUCUCCUGGAUAGUGAAAAUGGAUUUCCCCUUGCUUUACAUAGAUGAUCAUGUUGGUGCUGUGAAGGAACGGUCUUCCUAGGAUAAGGUGGAUGCCAUCUUCUUCACCCAUGUCUAGAACCAUGAAGUCAGUGGGGACCUUAUGAUCCCUGAUCUUGAUUGCGACAUAUUCAUAUUCCCUCGAAAGAUCGAAAUGAUUGGUCUGCUAUCUACAGCUGUAAAUAUGUUGGGCACAAGGGUCUAUCACGAUAUAAAUGUCUAUAUAUUACUGUAGACAUGAUGCUGAUGCUUGAGACGAUGUCAUAGAAUGUCUUAUAGAAGGUGCUCCCUUCGAUCAUGCAAUUAAUGGUACAUACUCUAGGAUCGUCCUUCUCAAGGUGUGAUGGAGGAAAAGCAGGGUCAGUGGGUGGUUCAAUUGCAUUGAGCAUCCAAAUGGGCUCUUGAUUAGGUGUCUUUCCUUUUCUCUUCCCCUUCUUGUUGUUGUUCUUAUUUGGAGUAGGUAGGACGCCUUCAUAUGUGUAAACAUUCUUCUUGACUAGAGUCUUCUUUUCUUGUGGCUUCUUCUCUAGAACCUUCUUCUCUAGAAGCUUGUCCUCUGGAAUCCUCCACUCUGGAAUCUUGUUCAACUUUUUUGGGAUCUUGUCAUAGCCCAAGUAAUCGUACGAGCAUUGAGGAUGAACUCGAUUUGUGAGUGUACGAUGUUUGAAACUGAGUCUCUCUUUAGUAUUCCCAAUGGUGAAACAGAUCUUGGCGGUGUCUACAUAGAUGAUGGUUUUAGUUGUGCUAAGAAAUGGUCAUCCCAAAAUGAUGGGUGCUCUUUCAUCUCCUCCUGUUUCUAUCACCACAAAGUCUACUCGAAGAGCCGAGCGUCCAACUCCUAUGAGAACAUUAUCUAGGAUUCCCUAGGGUAGCACAAUGUCUGAUCUACAAGCUACAAACACAUGGUUGUGUACAAUAAAAUUUCACCUUGAAUUUUCUCAUAAAUUACCUUUGGCAUAAUAUUAUUAACACUUGCUCCCAAAUUUCAGAUGGCUUUGUCAAAGGUGUGAGCUCCGAUGAAGAUGGGGAUAACAGGUCUUCCUAUAUCUCCUUUCUUUUCCGACAUGUCCUCUUCUCCCCACACUAGUCUUAGUGGUCUAGGUGGUGCGACAAAGUAUUCUCCUGCAUUAAAGAUAUCUACAAGAUUCGCAAUUUCUAAUUCACCUUGAUUCCCUAGAAUCUUACCUUUUUCGGCCAUGGGUAUUGAAGCUGCAAGCUGAGAGAUUUGAGAUUCUAUCAUCUUAUUAAAGCUAAGUUGAUUCUUUAUGGUAGAAGUAAAUCUAUCCAUCCUAUUAUUUAUGGAUUCAAAAAUUUUAUCAUUAGAAGCUAUCUUUCUAGAUAUACUAUCGAUAACUUUAUUUUGAUUAACAAUCAUCUCUCUCAAAGGUGGUUGGUUGAAAUUAUUACCUUGAUAUUUACCUGAGUAAUUACCUAAGUAGUUUGAUAUUUGUUGUUGAUUCCACCCUUGAUUCUGUUGGUUCCAUCCUUGAUUCUAUUGAGGACGAUAAUUGGAUUGUUGUUGAUGUAGUUGACAUAACACGUAGGAAUAUUCACCGUGGUGGCAUAAAGUAAAGAUAAAUAUGCAUUCGUCUUCUUACAUUUUAUUUCCAUCAUAGAAAAUAAAAAAGACAAAAAUAUUGAGAAAGAGAUCCUUCUAAAACUCUGCUUAGAAAAAAAUCAUAAACAAUCUCAAAAACUCUGCACAACUGAGGCUUAAGUGGUCAACUACUAACGCUUAAUUCGUUCCAAAGUUUUGUUGUUUGUUUGAGUUCCGUAUGAUUUGAGGAACCAAGAAGAGCUAACAAGCAUGUGGAUAUCCACUGCUAGAGUACUGUCUCAACAGUCAACAACAUCAAUCUAUGCUCUAGUAGAGGAAGUACAUCUCCACUGCAAGUCUGCUGCAUCCCAAGAUCAAAAGAUUACGUCAACAUCUAGCUUGGGAGAGAGGUACCCCUAUGGGUUAAGUUUUGGGGAGUUUGUUAACGGUGUUUAGCAUCAACCAUUUAUAGCUAAAUAAACAUGCAUAGAGGCACAAUUGAGAUCACCAACAAAGGUUUAGGAUUUAAACUAAUAAAUUCCAUGAGUUUUGUUGAAUCUGUGAUUUAUCUAGAAAACCGCCAAGAGGGAUCUAUUCGUCAAAACAAACGAUGAAAUUCACUAAGAAAAUUUUGUGGCAAGACUCUAGAAGGCACAAGAAGGUGAACCACCAAAGAUGGGCCCAAAAGGCAUCGAUGGAGGGUUGGCCGGCCCUACUCCAAUGCCAACCGACCUACCACGGAGCCUAGUCACCUCUAGCUUCUGGAAUCUUCCUCCACUGCCUCCUAGGAUGCAUUUCCACCGUACCUCAAAGUCAGUUUGAUCUAAGGGCUCACGUUCAUCCCACCGGGCUAUAUAAGGAGACGCCUGCCUCUCUCCCUGGAGGCAUCCCUAAAACCCUAGCUCGUAUCUCUUAUUCAGAGAUUAGGGUACACAAGGAGGAUUCGGGCUAGACUCUCCAAUUUAGUUGAGAGUUAGGGAGAGUCGAGCUAUGCUAAGGUUCUGGAGAAAUCUUCACAGGUCACGUAUAUCUUUGUAUACUAUCUUUAUAAGACUUAUGCUUUAAUAUAUUUAUCUUCUCUAUUUACUUUUAUGCCUUUCAUGUGAUUGGUUAGUAUAGUUGUUAUAUCUUUACAUGGGAUCUCCACUCGCAUUGAGUUCUCUAGUUAUUAUAUGUGAUUAGAGUAGUAAUUAAUAGUGUACACAUCGUGUCUAGAUUAUUAGUUACUUGAGAUUGUACCCAACCCUAUGGAUAGUUGUGGUAGCCCCAAGUGGUGAUAGCCUUGACGGCCGACGUAGUCCAUCACGUUUAGGGUGGUGAUUGUAGGACCGUAGUUAGAAUUUCCUAGCCCAUUCCUCAUCCCUUUCCAUGACUCAUGUUCUAAUGUCCCAAAGUGUCAUUGUGUGAUUGCAAUAUGUAUCUAUACUUUAGUUAUCAUAGAACUAAAGUAAUAGAGAAGUAUAUAGAAACCUUAAACUUUCCUGUUGUUCUCUCAAUUUAGCUAAAUUACUCUUUUAUCAUGGAAUUCUCCUAUUUGUGUGUCUAUCAUUAUGCACAACUCUUAUCAUUUAUCACUUACCUCUACUUUAGUCUAGUUAGUAUAUUAUGUUAGUAGAUACAUGAUGGUGAAUUAUCAACCUCUUUAACCAUUGCUUCCUUGUGGAUAAACAUGACAGUCUAGAAUACUCUCGGGUAAAAGCUAUAAUGGUAUCCAUGCGCUUGCCAAAUUCUAUGUGUGUAUUUGUAAAUACCAAUAGUAUCCCAAGCCUAGUUGCAUAUAGUGUAUUGCUGCCCAUAAACAACAAAAAUGAGUAUAAAUGAAUCAUGGGUGAGAAGGUGUGAAUUAUCUUGGUUGCUCCUAGAGAACGUUGGCGGCAAGCUGUGGCUCAAGAUGGCAGGCGACAAACUUGGUCGUCAGAGCUUGUAAACUCCCAAGUUACCCAGUUCUAAACUAUAUAUCUGGUAGUAAUCGUAGUAGUAUCCUAAUAGAUUUUGGCAUGUCAGGACUCAACCAGUCAUAAGAAAAAAUCUGUAGGGAGCAUUGUUGACGGUCCUUAAGUACCAAAUAUAAUCAUCAAAUAAAUAAAGAAAAGGAUCCAAAUGCAACCAACACCCAGACAUAGGGUUUUAUCUGACACAAUUCCACGAGUUUUGGUGUUUGUCUAUUUCUGUAGGGGGUUAUCAGGAAAUAUAGAGGAAAGGCCCACAUAUCGGGUUUACAUAGAGAUAUUAAUGUGCCGCGCAAUUUUCUAUCAUCUAGAAGAGUCCAGAAGCCAUGGGAACGAACGGGAGGCCGAGCGGACCCGGGAGCAGGGCACCUGCCCUCCCCCCUAGGGCGCCCGCCCUACUACAGGGACCAAUCAGGUCCCGCCUCGCAGAUUAUGCUCCACCGACCUAAAGGAUUAAGGAAAACCGUGCGAUUAAGGUUGGUUUCAUCCGACGGCCCAGAUUCAUUUGGAGGGGCUAUAUAAGCAGGCCCCCUGGCCCCUAGAGGACGGCAAUCCCAUUAUUCAUUAGCAUAUUUUCCAAAGAGGAUUCAGAGAGAGAGGUCCCUCUAGGGUUCCAACCUCAUAGGGCUUAGCAUCCAAUGUGAGAUUAGAAUUAGUUCUUCUAGAUUGAGAGAGAUAGAGUGGAGGUGUGGAUCGCAGGAAGCCCGGCCUGUCGGUGUCUACUCCGAGGUUGUACCUACGGGAUCAAGUCUCCUAACCCGAGGCUUGCUCCUAAGAUUCUUCAGUUUUUCGACUUCUAAAUUCUAGUAAGUUCUUUGUUCUUAUUGUUCUUUAGUUUAUGAGUUUACUUCAAUCUCUUUCGGUUGAGUUUAGAGUAAUCAUUGCUAGUGUAAACGUGGUGUUUGGGCUAGGGUACUCAUAGAUAUCCCCUGUCUAGCCGGACCGUGGUAGUAGCGAGGAACGUGACAUUUUCGUAGCUACCUUUGUAGCCCACAAUCCCGUUAGCAGGAUCGGUAGGGUCUAUAGGUGCGGGUCGAACAUCCUUUGUGGUGUCUAGAUUCCGUAAGCCUCCCUAAUAGAAUAGUAGAUCAUCCUUACCAAGGUUAAAACGAGAGUGCGGUUGUAGUCUUCUUGUAACACCCAAAAUUUGAAUUUCAAUUAAUAGGAUUUAAUUUGAUUUAUUUAAGUAUUUUUAUGAGCAUUUAAUUCAGAGAAUAAAUAAUUUUUGUUAAAAUUAAAAUUCAUUAUAAGUGAGUAAACUUGAUUGUGCAUUCAUGCUGAGGUAUAUUUUUUGUUGUGCUAAUUUCUUUUGGUUGGAUUUUGGUUGCUCUCAAAACCCUAUUUAAAAAGGCUUUAGAAAACAGAAAAGAAGAAUAAAAAUAAAAAAACAAAGGAGAAAACCCCAGCCGGCCCAAAACCCCUCCCUUUUCUUUUUCCCCGGUGCGCGGCCCAGGCUGAGGCCUAGCCGCCCCGAAGCCCAGCUCCUUCCUCUCCCGGCCCAGCGCGCACAACGCAGUAGCCAGGCCCGCAGCGCUCCCCUGCCCUCCUUCUCCAGCCGACAGCUGGGUCCCGCCUUUUUCCCCCACCGACAGCUCGGGCCCACGAGUCAGCUCUCCCCAUCUCGCUUCCUUCUUCUCUGCGCGCCGUGGCCGCGCCGGACUCGGUGGUUUUUCCCUGCGUAGAAGGAAACAACCCCGUUUCUUCCGGGAUUUCGUGGAUUGAGCGCCCCUAUAAAGUCCCAAACUCGCCCCGCGGUCACGUUUCCUCAACCGAGCACUUUUUCUAAGCCCUAGCCGCAACCGCCGCGAGAUUUGGAUCUCACCGGAGAAAACUACCGCCGCCGCGCGUAGCCUCCUCCCCUCGGGCCUUCUCCGGCCCUAAAAACGCCCUAGGUGAGUUCGCGAGCUUCUUCUCCAUCUCCCGGUGUCCUCGACUUGAGUUUUGGUGCACGGAAUCGAGAAGUCGUAGAGCUCCGGCGAGCUUCCUGCGGCCGGCAAUGGCGCCGCCGUGCCGGAGCCCCACCCCGACGGCUAGCACGCCGCCUACUCCUCGCUGGGUUGAGCAGGGCCGUCGGAUCGAAGAUCGGUGGCUGAUAAUAGAAGAUACCGGUUCGCUGCAAUUUUUGUUUAAGAGCCCCUGGAAAGUUUUACAUUUUAACCCGCAGUCCAAGCGCCUUUCGGGAAAUACGUUUUCUUGAUUGGAUUACGUAUUUCCGAUCGGUUUAGUUCAAAGUAUGCUUUCCAGAAUUUACAGAAAUGCCAUUGAAACUGUUUUGGUUAUAAAAUGCUCAUUUUAAGUCCGAUUUGACCCAUUCAAAUUGCGUUAGCUUCGUAUUUACAUGCUCUACAUGUUAGAAAUAUUAGUUUACUGUUUUGAAACUUUUUAAUUCUGCAGUAGCAUUUAAUUAAUUAUUUCUCUAUAGGAAAUCUUGGAAAAUUCAUAUCUUCUACGUUUUAAUUCCGAUUUUCGUGAACUUUACGUUUGUGUGAUCGUAGCGCUGCGUAGAAUAUUUUCAUAAACUUUUAUCUUUGAUUUCUCACUGUUUGGUGUAAUGUUCUAAUUAUAGCUUGUUUGCUUCGUGUAUGAUUGUCUACAUUGGAAUGCGUGUUGUUGAUUGAUGUUUCGGAAUAGACGGUGAGCCGUACGUCGGUGAUCAAGGUCAAUCUUUUGAAGACCAGCAGGCUCAGGAGAGCUUUGAGCAAGGCAAGUAUAACUUGGGAUCAUCCUUGUUACCUAUUCACUUAAGUACACAUAUAUAUCAUAUGCAUGCUAUCACCUUGUCGACCUUAGCAAAAUCAUAGAUGAUUGUUACCUGGAUUCCUUGCUACCUACUUGAUAUGCAUUUGUUGUAGAUGUGCUAGUGCUUGAUAUAAUCCAUGAUCUUGUAAGAUGAUUAAUAGCUAUGCAAUGAACAUAAAAUAAUGACAAAUAACUGUAUGAGAUCUUGUCUGUAAGUGAUCACCGGGACAACAGUGCAACCAUGAGGGCUAUAAUGGCUCUGGCUUUAGCUCAGUAUGAAGACCUUUUCUAGCUUGUUAGAGGUUACCCGAAAGGGCAGAGGGGCUGAACCGUUUUGGGUAUAGUGUGGCCUCUGUCUGUAUGAGUAUAGGUUGCGAGUCAUUGUGCCAUCAGAAGGGGGGCUGUAUAUCUGCGCGCAAAGGAAACCUUACGGCCCUAACAUGUUAGACGAACUUUUGAAAGGCUUCAUAGUGAUCCCUGCCGACCUCCCUAGGAAGGGGGUUAAGAGAUUAGCUACCUCGGGCGAAAGGGUAAAUCAUGACUCAUGGGUAAAGAUGUACAACCUCUGCAGAAUGUAAAACUGGUAUACUAGCCGUGCUCACGGUUAUGAGCGGCCUUGGGGGUUCUUGCUGCGCCGACGAUGAGCUUAUUAAGUUGUUAUGUUCAUUUGAUUAUCGUUUAUGCUAUGGAUUAAUUAUGCUUACACUCGAUCAUGUGAUUACUGGAUUAUUUAUGCUACCUUGACAAUUGCUAUUUAAUUAUGAAUAUGCUAUCCACUACUAAAAGCUAAAUGCAGUCAAACCAGUGUCAGCUAAUUGAGCCUCAUGAACCCCUGGUUAUACUUGUUGAGUACGAUAUGUGCUCACUCUUGCAAUUUCCCAACACCUCAGGAUAUGAUAUUGAAGAUGACUGGAAUGAGGAUUAUCGUUAUGAGUACUAGGUUUGGAGUCAACCAGUCAACAGUGUGCCUGUGUGGAGCUUCCGUCGAGAGCGUUGUUUACUUCUUGUUAUCAUUUAUGUAUGAGACUAUGUGAUAUUCUAUAUUCCGUUAUGUAAUAAACACUGCAAUGGUACAUUUGAGAUUUGUCCACUUAUGUGUGCGACUGUUUCUGGGGCACACAUGAGUCUUUUAUGCAUCCUAUUUUAUUCUUAAAAUAUGGGUGUGACACUUCUCUAUACAUCGCUCACAUCAAAUCACAUUGUUUGUAGCCUAAAGGGUAGUAGCAAUAGAUUUGGUUAGUCAGAUGCACACUUUCUCCCAGUGGUAAAAAUAUAAAUACGAUACUCUAGAUAACCUCCCGAGUGAAGUGCUCACCGAUAUCCGUGCGCUUGCGGAUCAUUUCCUCAUGGCGUUAACAAAUAUCAACAAGCAUUUCUGGCGCCGUUGCCGGGGAGAAAGACGGUUUGCUGAGAUAAUUUUGAGUCUUGCUAUUAUCUUGUAUUAUAGUUUUAUACUUUUAUUCUUUUAUUUUUUUCCAUCUUUAUGGAUAACUCAAAUUCCACACCUAUUAUUGAAUUUUUUGCACCUUCGGAGACCAGCCAUAGACCAUGGGAGUCAACAAGUCCUUUCUUUGCCUCUAAUUAUGAUAUGUGUCCGGAGUUGAUUGCAAUAGAUCAAAACCAACCCUUUUCUAUAGCCGAGGUCCUAUCUUUUAAUCAAGAAGAUAAUGAACUUUUAGCUACACCUAGGGAAUCUUUUAAUCCUUCUAUAAAUUUUGGUUUAGACCUAGCCCUACAAGACCAUGUUUUUCCUCGAUAUUUUCACAUUGGUCUUAAUCAUAUAACCUUUGGUAGAGUUUUUCUUUCUUUAUCUGUUAGUAAAGCAAGGUAUGUCUUCAUUCGUGGACAUCCUUCUUGCACUAGUCUUCAUAAAAAAAUCCUAGAGAUAGAGAAGGAAUCAUCUCCCAGACGAGGAAAGGAAGUUUCAAUAGCCGAUUUCCAAACAUUUCAAUCCCAUGAUUCGGCUAUCCAACCCAAACUAGUAGUGCUCCAAAAUCAUCUAAGGGAAGAAUAAAUUAUACCUUUGGAAAUUCAUUUUGGGAUGAGCUUAAACUUCCUGCUUCAUAAGAGACCUUUGAGUGCAUAUAGUCUGAACCUUCCUAAGAAGGGAUCUCUUAGAAAGCAUCUCAAAUCCAAUCCCUUUGAUGGACAUCUAGAAAGACUCAAGGAUGGCAUCUUAAGUGAUGCAAUAGAAGGAGAGCGAAGCCAUUUAGAAGACAAUCUCAUCUUCUCCCCUUCUACGCCCACUUUUGAUGACUCAUUCAAACCUAUCUUUAAACCCAUCCUUGAGCCUAAUAAUUUCUACUAUGCUCUUUCUCUUGAACCUCCCAAUGAUCCUAUGAAUCUCUCUAAACAUCCCGUGCAUAAGAGUCACCAAGACCACAAGAAGGAUCGAGAAGAGCUACAUCAAUGGUUAGAGGGCAUUAAAAAUCCAUGUGCUAUCACCAAUGAAUGGAUAGAUAAAACAAACUUGAGAGACAAUCCUAGAGGAAUUUUAAGCAUUCAUGAAGAAUCAUCCUUGGAGUUUGAGAAUGAGAGAAACAAUAGGGAGCAUGGAAGUUAUUUCAUAACUACCUCACCAAGUUCUUGCUCAUAUAAAACAUCUCCCCAAUCAAUUGGUCUCUCCAACCUUACCACAUUUGAGAUCUCCAACCCUCUCUUCCUUUCUAUUUAUAAAAACUUUAAAGGGGUGGUUAUCGAUGCAUAUGUCUAUAAUAAAUAUUGUAGAUAUUGUUGAGUCGAUCUUGAUAUAGGCACGCUUAGGUUGGUGUUGGAGGGGAAACCACUUCACCAACAUAAUUUGAUGAUUUUCCAAGGACAAGCUUAGUGUCCUAAACCAAGCACUUAUCAGAUCGUAACAUGAACUUUUAAUUAUUUGCAACAUUUCCUUGUGUAUUGAGCAUAUAAAGAUAAUUAUAGAAAUAUUCCUUCGGGUAUUCGUGUCAAUAACCUUUCUAGGAUUGGAGCAAGAAGAUCCAAGGAAUGACAAGCGCAAGGUAUGCCCAACCAAUCAUCAUGCAACAUUGAAUUAAAUUCAUCCAAUCUUGAAUUUUGCAAAAUUCAAGCUUGGGGGAAAUACCUUACAUAAGAACAUCCUUUGCCUUGUUGCUAUGUUGGUUGUCCCUACUUUUGGGGCAUGCUCAAUUUUUCUAAACACUAAACUUAUUUUUCAUCUCCAUCUGAGUAGAUCUCUAUAAAUGCUGUCAUACUACCUUUGUCUAUUCACAAGCAAGUGUUGGUUUCGAAGUACUCGACAUACUUCCAUUGGCAUUUAAAUUAAGCGUGGUGCUUAGGUUAAAUAGCCUUCCUUAAUUUGAUUAGACAUGGAGUCUAGUUUGGUUACUGAACUAAAAACUGCUUGAGUAGACAUUGGUAUAUUUUGUCAGACUAACCCCUGCAGAAAAACUUUCAAUAUCAACCUGGGAAGUCCUGAGAUACAAACUCACAUUGGAGACAAAGGAGACACAUGAAGUUUAAUGAUUUGCACAAGGAAGACAUAGCUCAUUCAUCAUAGAGAGAUGAUCAAUGGAACGAGACAAAGAGUGCCACAAAUACGGUGCACAACCGCUAAGAAAGGAAAGCUUCCACAAGGUGAUACUGUACCAUCACUCUUCAAGUAAGGUAACAUCUUAAGGUACUUGACUAUCACUUUAUAAGCUUCUCCUUGGUUCUGGCAUUCACAUGAAUAAAGAGACAAACAUAAAUUAACCAACCCAAUUAAUUCAACAUGUUUAGUCCUUUAAUCUUUGUUCUUAGUACUACCUUCGUGAUCCCACACUCCUAAUCAUAUAAGCUAAAAUGUUGCACAUUCAAUCUUUGGAAGAUAUAAAAAACAAAAAACAAAAAGAAAAACAAAAACAACAUAAAUAUAGAUAGAUUAUCUUUCCAUUAGGUCGAGUGAUCUGAUCUGAAAAAAGUUUUAAAUGCUACACUCAUGAUCUUAUCAUCCAACAACUUUGUCUUGCUCACUAUGCUUAAGGUUAGAGAAGAACAAAUACACUUUUGGUUCUGUUGGUGUUUUUCACCAACAGGGCCCAUGCACUUGAUCUCUACCUUGUCUCUAUAAGAAGGUACACUUCAAGCAAAACCUGAAGGAGUUUUACAACUCCCAGAUUCCACCAAGUGAAGGACUUGGAUCUACGAGCACAAACACACUGAGCAGGAUGCUGAAAGGUCCUAAUAUGGCUAGAGGGGGGUGAAUAGCCUAUUUUAAAAUUCUACAAACUCACUAGAGCAAGAGGUUAGUAAAUAACAAAGCGAAGCUUUUUGCUCUAGCUCUAAAGGGGUGUUUGCAUGCCACCUACCCAACAAUUCUAGUUGCUAUGAACACUAUACACACAAGAACUACGUCUCUACAAGCUACACUAGUGAACUAAGCUAUACAAGGCAAAGUAAGCAACUAAACUAAUUACACUAGUCUGAGGUAAGUAAAGGAUAGGAUCAGAUAUUUAUACCGUUGUGUAGGGGAUGAACCAAUCACCAAUAUAAACAAUCACGCAUCGGGAGAAUGCCAAUCAAACACAAUUGAGACACCGAUUUUUCUCCCGAGGUUCCCGUGCUUGCCGGCACGCUACGUCCCCGUUGUGUCGACCAACACUUGGUUGUUCGGCGGCUAAGAGGUGUAGCACGAACCUCGUCCUCACUAGGACACCGCAAGAACCGACCCACAAGUGAGGUAACUCAAUAACACGAGCAAUCCACUAGAGUGGCUUUUGGCACUCCGCCGGGGAAUAAGCCCAAGAACCCCUCACAAAUAUAACCUUGAUUGGGGGUGGACACAAUCACCAAAUCCCCUCACCAAUCAACAAAUCCACAACCGUCUAGGUGACGGCAAUCACCAAGAGUAAUAAGAAAUCCACAAUUGCAAUCACCACCUAGUGCCACAAGAAUGAAAUCACAAAAGCACAACACUAGGGUUUCCCCAAAUCCUCUCACCAAUGAGCACCAAGCUAUGGAGAAGGAGAGGAGAGGAAGGAGAUGCACUUGAAGCUCUCAGAUCUAUCACUUGAGCUCAAUCUCUCACUUGAAUGGAGCACAAAGCUUAGGGAGUGAGAGAGGAGGAAGGGAGAGCUUUCUCUACUAUUUAGAAGAGCCACCGGAAGUCAGAAAAUGUGUUCUAUUUGAGUUGCCCCAUCAAAAACGAAGGAAACGAGUACUUAUAGUGUGGCACCGGAAGUUCCGGUGCUUGGGACCGGAACUUCCGGUCUGACCAGAUCUAACCGUUGGAGCCUCGGUCCAAGCAGAUCUGACCGUUGUGGCCAAACAGAUCUGACCGUUGUGAGAGACUCGGACCCAUCGGAAGUUCCACCGGAAGUGAAUCCUGACGCGCGAGGGCAUGCGCAAAGGCUCCUAUGCGGACUCCCGUUCAUGGACCGGAACUUCCGGUUGUGGACCGGAACUUCUGGUCAUGGACUGGAACUUCCGGUCAUACACCGGAAGUGUUUUCUCAAACGCGAGCGCAUCUCACACAGCCCAACCGGAACUUCCUGUCAGGCUGACCGGAACUUCCGGUCAGGCACCGGAAGUACCACCGGAAGUUCCACCGGAACUUCCGGUCCUGCAUUCUCAGCACCAUCUCAAACCUUAUUAGGUUGCUAACUUCUAGCUCUGAACUCCGAAUUCAAUGAUCUUGGACAUUUCGGAAAGCUUACUGAGAGGGCUAUACAAUCCAUAUGGAUACUCAAUCCAAAUCAUAAUGUAUCAAAGCAGUAUUUCAAUCUAAAAGUCAUCCUAAUGUCCGAAGAACACCGAAAAGCCUCUCUCUCUUCUCCAAGUUGAUCAAAAUCAACUCCAACACCUUCUCCUUUGCAAAUGUGCCAACACCACCAAGUGUACACCACCAUGUGCAUGUGUGUUAGCAUUUCACAAUCAUUUUUUAUAGGCUUUCUCAUGCAUCUCACCACGUCACUAAGUGCUAGGUAUAUGCAAAUGAGACUCACACUUAGUGGCACUAGAUAACCAUUGCAAUUAAAGAUUUCCCCUCUUUAUAGUACGGUUAUCUAUCCUAAAUCCACUCACACCCGCUAGGUGUCUUGAGUGGUAAAACAAAAUGGCCCUAAUAAAAAUACCUUUGCCUUGAGCCCAUUUUGUUUUUCUCUUUCUUCUUUUCCAAGUUGGAGCACUUGAAUAUCAUCUUUUGGUCACCUCCAUCACCAUGACCAUCAUCUAGCUCCAUCACUUGGUGUGUACCAACCUAUCCUUAUAUUUCACUCAUGACAAAGGUUAGUACACAUAGGUUUCAUCAAUUAUCCAAAACCAAACUAGGACUUUCAGAUGCUGCCAAUGCCGCACCUUGAACUGCUGGACAAACGACGAACAUGGGUGACACUGUAUCAAGAGGUGCAGAUGUCAAGGCCCACACCUAAUCAAAUGAUGCACCUAAAGGAUGAACACGGUCAGAAGUCUUGUCCAGAAGACUUAAAACAUUGGAUCCUUGCCGGAAGAAUUCAAGGAUAAAAGAAGACUAGCCGGUGGAGGACAUAGUAAUCGCUGUCAGGGUGCUACCGACAUUCAAAUACACCUCCGUCACCUGCUAGCUACAGCAGAAGAAAUUAUGUCAAAAUCCAGCUUGGGGGAGAGCACCCCCAUUUAUCCAGCUAAGUGUUUCUACUCGCGUUUAUACUUUAGUCAAAUAAUAAAAAGAUGCAUAAUCAUGAAAACCCAAAUAAAAAUUUUGUGUUUAUAUAUAUCUUUGCUUAGUUUGCUAAAUAAAUAAAUAAAGUGUCUAGGCCAAACUGAACUUAAAUGAUAAACUCUUACAUGGAUAUGAUAAUAGUUGCUCUGCCAUGUACCUAGUUUUCAAGUUUGAGCUCUCUCUCAAGUUUAGGCAUAACUAUUAUAAUUUAAACCUACUCUAAACCUGAACUUGUGAGAAGAGUACUUGAUCUAAAGUCUAAGUCGUUAACGGAUAUGAUAUGGAAAGGUUGAGCUGUUGUUUAUCUGUUCCUAGAGUUGCUAGAAUUCUGGAGAAUAUUAUCUUUGAAAAUCUUUAAAAUAUUGCAUGAUGAGUUCCUGUAUGAUAAGAGUUUGAAAUCCUACCACAGCCAUAUAUACAUGCUUAUUAGACUAUGAACCAUAUAUUUACUUUUUACUGCUUAUGAGCAUUGAGUGUGGUCAAGCUGUGUAGACCCUUAGGAGCUUGUCAUGCGGUUAAAAUCAAGAUCCACUUGCACGUUCACUCAUACAUGCUACUUCUACUCCGGAAGUACGCAUCCACAUACAUCCACUCAAUUCCAUCUCUAGAUUCACCUAAAAUUAUUCUACUCCUAUCCGGGAGAGAAUAGCCAAAAACUUUUUCCUAUCCCUGUUAUUCCCUGUGAAAUAAAUGCUCGAGAUAUUUUGGUUACUACCACUUGCUAUAUUAUUCUAGGAGGGUGAGUGCUCUGAAAAAAAGAAGAAAAGGAAAAAUACGAGGAAAUAAAAAGGGGCAAGUGCCCGGAACCUCGAAGAAAAGAAAAAGUGAGACGAGAGGUAAAAAUGGACAAGUGUCCGACAGUAGAAUUAGGGGUACAAGAUACCCACCUGAGAGAAAAGAAGAAAAAAAAUAUAGAGCAUCUCAUUCUCCUCAAAAAAGCUUCAAAGUGCAAGAAAGGUAUGUAUCCCCUAAAAAGAGAAAAACUAGAAUUAGACUUUCACCAUUGUUAUCACCAUCAUCACCAUACACCAUUCACUCGCCACACAUGCACAUCUUGAUUUGACUUAUUGACUUGUUCUUCUGGAUCCAAGGUUUGACUAUGCAAUAAAUGUCUUGUAAGUAUGUAUUAUCUGUCUCCCACCUAUGAGCUCCAGAUAUCAAAACCUUAUUAGAGUAGGGUGAGAGAGAAGGCAAUAUCACUAUGCCUCAUACCAAAAGACCACAUACUUUGAGAGAAGGCAUAUACCAUUACUGCCUUGGAAAGGAUCCAGAAAUACCACAAAAGAGAGAUUUGAGAGAGUCAUACAAGGAAUCUCUGAGUUUUAUUUGAAAAUCUGCAAAAACUCCAGAGCUAUAGCUGAUCAAAGAACAAGAGACAUGGUGCUUGACUAGACUAUUCUAUCUUUUAACUGCUCAAGACACAAGUGAUGGUUGCAAGCCCCAUGGUGAAAGGUAAAAAGAGUAAGUUUUAAGUCUUAACAGUUUACUCUAACUCAGAGAUGAGAUCUUGCUUGAACGCAUAUGUACUUUUAAGGCACGAAACCACUGCAGAAACUCUUGAGUCCAUCCUUGCUCAGGGACGAGCAAGAGGUAAGCUUGGGGAGUUGUUGACGGUCCUUAAGUACCAAAUAUAAUCAUCCAAAAUAGGAUCCAAAUGCAACCAACACCCAGACUUAGGGUUUUAUCUGACAGAAUUCCACGAGUUUUGGUGUUUGUCUAUUUCUGCAGGGGGUUAUCACGAAAUAUAGAGGAAAGGCCCACAUGUCGGGUUUACAUAGAGAUAUUAACAAGUCGUGCAAUUCUCUAUCAUCUAGAAGAGUCCAGAAGCCACGAGAACGAAUGGGAGGCC